GCAACUGGCUGAGGUAGGCGGAGACCUCCAGGUAUCCCACCUGGGGAAGGCGAAGCCAAGCAUUUGCUAAUGAGAACCACAUAGGGUCCAGGGGGCUGCAUGCGACCACGCAAAGGGCACCCCCCGUUUAAUGUGGGGAGCGGUCAUUGUGGCCAUUGCUCAAGUUGUACCUUCAAGGAUGUCCCUUUGCAUCAGGUCAAGUGCAGUGAAAAGAUGCCAAAUUCAAAAGCCUAGCUUUUUGAUCCUAAGGAAGAAUUGGUUCAUUUCUUUCCAGACAAGCUGUAAACAAGGUUUGUUCUCGACUUACCACUUGUAUUUUUUAUUUUUGCAGGGGGCAGGGAGAACAAACCAUGAGCCUGGUGUUGGCUGGAAGGCUAAGCCAAGCCAUGACUUAGUUCUUCGUAGCAUGGCAGCAUCAAGAGCAAGGAAGUAGCGAAGUGGCCCUAAAUUCCACCAUCUGCUCCAUGAUGCUGUGAGUUUACCUUUAAGCUAUAGUUAAGCGUAAAGGUAAAGGUAAAGGGACCUGUGACCAUUAGGUCCAGUUGUGGAUGACUCUGGGGUUGAGGCACUCAUCUCGCUUUACUGACCGAGGGAGCUGGUGUACAGCUUCCGGGUCGUGGCCAGCAUGACUAAGCCGCUUCUGGCGAACCACAGCAGCGCAUGGAAAUGCUGUUUACCUUCCCACCGGAGCAGUAUCCAUUUAUCUACUUGCACUUUGACAUGCUUUCGAACUGCUAGGUUGGCAGGAUCAGGGACCGAGGAACGGGAGCUCACCCCGUUGUGGGGAUUCGAACCACUGACCUUCUGAUCGGCAAGCCCUAGGUUCUGUGGUUUAACCCACAGCGCCGCCCACUAUGGUUUAAAAUGAUGCGUGGAUGCGGCUUGUGUGCGUUUCUUUUACAGUAAGGAUAAAGGUAAAACAGGAUGCUGGUGGCGCUGUAGUCUAAACCACUGAGCCUCUUGGGCUUGCCGAUCAGAAGGUUGGCAGUUCGAAUCCCCGCAACAGGGUGAGCUCCCAUUGCUCGGUCCCAGCUCCUGCCAACCUAGCAGUUCAAAAGCAUGCCAGUGCGAAUAGAUAGAUAGGUACCGCUGUGGCAGGAAGGUAAAUGGUGUUUCUGUGUGCUCUGGUUUCCGUCACGGUGUCCCGUUGCGCCAGAAGCAGUUUAGUCCUGCUGGCCACAUGACCCAGAAAGCUGUCUGUGGACAAACGCCGGCUCUCUCAGCCUGAAAGCAAGAUGAGCGCCACAAACCCAUAGUUGCCUUUGACUGGACUCAACCAUCCAGGGGUCCUUUACCUUUACCUUCUUUUACAGCACAUAGCCAUAUUCAAUAAUACAAAAAAUGAUGCUUUUCAAGUAGUCCUCCUAACACUGAUGCUUGGAUGGAGCUAUAUUACGCAUAUCCAGCUUGUUUUCCUUUUCGUUUUUGGACAAUGAUCACACAUUAUUUCACAUCUCAGCUGUAUAGAGGUUUACAUGUUAAGGCAGGAACUGCUUGGCUACACAAUACAGUGGUACCUCGGGUUAAGAACUUCAUUCGUUCCGGAGGUCUGUUCUUAACCUGAAACUGUUCUUAACCUGAAGCACCACUUUAGCUAAUGGGGCCUCCUGCUGCCGCUGCGCCACUGGAGCACCAUUUCUGUUCUCAUUCUGAAGCAAAGUUCUUAACCUGAGGUACUAUUUCUGGGUUAGCGGAGUCUGUAACCUGAAGCAUCCGUAACCUGAAGCGUCUAUAACCCAAAGUACCACUGUAUAUUAUUUUGGCACUGCUACAGUUUCUAGUCUUGAAUGUUGAUUCUGCACAUUUAGCAUGCAGGCGGUUGCCAUAUAACUUGUGUUUGGCGCAAAAGGGUCAUAGUAGUGCAAAAACGCACUUUUGACUAUGGCUGUUAAACCAAAGGUGGUCAGCUGAAACAUUUUUUCUUUGCCAUCACACUUUCUUUCCUCUACAGUGGUACAUCUGGUUACGUACUUAAUUCGUUCCGGAGGUCCGUUCUUAACCUGAAACUGUUCUUAACCUGAAGCACCACUUUAGCUAAUGGGGCCUCCUACUGCCACCGCCGCGCAAUUUCUGUUCUCAUCCUGAAGCAAAGUUCUUAACCCGAGGUACUAUUUCUGGGUUAGCAAAGUCUGUAACCUGAAGCGUAUGUAACCUGAAGUGUAUGUAACCCGAGGUACCACUGUACUUACAAAGCAACACUCUAGUUACGUUCCCCAAAAUACCUUUCUUCUACAUGCACCCACACGCGUCUGAACACUAUUCAAAGAAAUGCUUCGCACAGCCACUACUAGUGCUAACAGCUUCUCUCCUACGAAGUAGAAUUCCAUCUUCUUACAAAGCGUGUUCUCCAUAAUAGGGAGCAUGUGUUGCUGUGGGGGCCAAAAAGGCCACCCCACUGUUGUUGGGCAUAUUGGCCACAUGCUGUGAUUGGGCAAGGAGUGUUGCUGGGGAGAAUGUUAUGUUGCUAAAGUGUGGGAGGGGUCAGAGGUCUUAAAUACAGGGCUCAUAGCCUGGUGCCUUCUCUUGGGUUGCGUGCACCGGAUCACCCGCCCACCCUCCCUGAAAAGGGGGGGGGGUUCGUUGUCCUAUGACCUCGCUAUGCCUGUCAUGGGGUCGUCUGCCUUGGGGCAGGGGCCUGGUAGGAAUUUUGUCCAUUUGGCUGAUUGGCUGUUGCCAUUUGGUUUUUGCCUACUGCGUAGCAAAUCGUCACAACUUGUAAGGUUGGCGGUUAGGCAUUGGUUAAAAUUGGUUGGUGGAGGGGUAAGUGCCUACCCCUCCAAUGGUGGUGCGGAAAGGGAAUUCUGUUAAAGGAAUCCAGGGGCUUGCCAUCCCUUUCGUCCUAGUCCCUGGCAUCGGAUUUGGGCUGUGCAAGCCCCAGGGCGCAUGAGGGUGAGAGAUGAGGGACUGAUGCCCAACUUCAUUUCUCCCCAAUAUGGUUCUCCCUGACUGGCUUCCGCUGGAAUCCCGAAGUCAGUUCUGUCCCUGGGGCAAGGACAGAUAGUCGUAACCAAUGCCUAAGCAACCACUCACGUGUGUGUAUUUAAAUAAAGUUGUGGCCAAAUUCAUGUCAAAAACCUUAAACAAAAAUUGAUGUGUGAAGUGUGAGUUAUUGGGGUGGCCUGGGGGACCUCAACGCGCAAAAUGUAUGUUUUUGUGAGGAUGGGAACAGAAGAUGGUACUUAAAAAAAACUACCACCCGUAAUAUUGGUCUCAUGUACUAUAUGCUAGUCUAAAAUGUGUUCAAGCAGCAUAGCUGUCUCAGAAAUCAUAACUUUGUUGUGGUCAUAGCUAUUUAGCAACUGUUUCUGAAUGAUAUAAUUGUACCAUAUGGUGGCGAGGGACUAAUACUACGGAAAAUGCUCCAAUUGUUACAUUUUACCUGUGCUUCUGUGCACAAUGGACCUUGCUUUUUAUUGUCAGUCUCCUUUACCUCCACGCCUUUUUAAUAGAGAUAUUAAUUAAAUUUCUUUCCUUUAAUGAGCUACAUACGUUACGCAUUGGGGGGGUCAACAAAGUAAGUUUUAAAAUCAAUUAUACAAUUACGUAUGUAGUAAUGAGAGCACAGAACUAAUUGCCUGCAGGGCAGUACUGUAACCUUCUCAUAAUGCAAGUUUCAUUAGGGUAAGGUCUAUUAUUACAAGGAAUCAUGGAAAUAAUGGGGGUGGGUGUAUUCAGCAAGAAAUAAUAAAUGAGGGCCAUUUCAAGAUAAGAGAAGCUGUUUGCUGCUGUGAGUGUGAUAGCAGGCCCCUAGACUGUAUGUAAAUAGAUAGGGUCAAGUUUCCUUGAGUGCCCAGAGAACAUUGUACAAGAAUUAAUUUUCAUUCUAUUCUGGAGAAUGACGGAAGGAAGGUUUCUAAUUAUGCCCCCAGGCUGGAUACAACCAAACUCUGUAACAUGGCCAGGUAUUUUUUAUAAAAUGUACAAGACAUUCUCAGUACAUACAGGUGAUGUGAACUUGUGAAAUGGCUUCUUAUUCCUGAAUCUGCUUCUUAUUCCUGAAUUUGCUUCUUAUUCCUGAAUUUGUAUUGCAUUAAUGAUGGCUGGUGGAAAGGAUAGAUACCUAAAGUUACAAAUUUCACAAAUUCUAUUCCGUUUUAAAGUGUUUUGUCUUUAUCUUUGCAUUCAAUACAAAGUCUUGUUUUUGUUUUAAGGUGUUUCCCACCAUACACAGAAUAAUAGAAUCGUAGAACUGUAAAGUUGGAAGCGACUCCAAGGGUCAUCUAGACCAACCCCCUGCAAUGCCGGAAUCUCAACUAAAGUAUCCCUGACAAGAUGGCCAUCCAACCUCUGCUUAAAUACCUCCAAGGAAGGAGAGUCCCCCACCUCCCAAAGGAGUCUUCCACUGUCAACAGCUCUUACUGCCAGAAAGUUCUUCUUGCUGGAGCCAUUGGUUCAAGUCCUACUGUCCAGAGCAGGAGAAAACAAGCUUGCUUCAAUUUCCACAUGGCAGCCCUUUAGAUAUUUGAAGAUGGCUCUUAUUGUGCCUCUCAGUCUCCUCUUCUGCAGGCUAAACAUACCUGCAGCAACUCCCUUAACUGUUCUUCGUAAGGCUUAGUUUCCAAACCCUUGAUCAUCUUGGUUCCCCUCCUCUGCACAGGUUCCAACUUGUCAAUAUCCUUCUUAAAUUGUGAAUCCCAGAACUGGACACAGUAUUCCAGGUGUGGUCUGACCAAGGCAGAAUAGAGCAGUACUCUUACUUUCCUUAAUUUGGACACUAGACUUCUGUUGAUGCAGCCUAGAAUAGUAUUAGCUUUUCUGCUGAAGCAUCACACUGUUGACUCAUAUUAAGCUUGUGGUUCACCAAGACCCCUAGAUCCUGUUCCCAUGUACUACUGGCAAGCCAGGUGUCCCCCAUCUUAUAUUGGUGCAGCUGGUUCUUCCUGACAUUUGUAGAAUCUGACAUUUGACCCUUUGAAAUUCAGUCUGUUAGUUUUAGCCCAGUUCUCCAAUCUGUUAAGGUCAUCUUGAAUCCUGAUUCUGUCUUCUGCAGCAUUAGCUACUUGCCCCAAUUUGGUGCCAUUGCAAAUUUGAUGAGCAGCCCCUCAAUUCCUUUGACCAAGUCAUUUGAACGACAACGGGCCCAGGACAGAACCCUGUAGCACCCCACUUGUCACUUAUUUCUUGGAACCAAACUGACAACAGCAAUCUGUUGUUGUUGUUUAGUCGUUUAGUUGUGUCCGACUCUUCGUGACCCCAUGGACCAGAGCACGCCAGGCACUCCUGUCUUCCACUGCCUCCCGCAGUUUGGUCAGACUCAUGCUGGUAGCUUCGAGAACACUGUCCAACCAUCUCGUCCUCUGUCGUCCCCUUCUCCUUGUGCCCUCCAUCUUUCCCAACAUCAGGGUCUUUUCCAGGGAGUCUUCUCUUCUCAUGAGGUGGCCAAAGUAUUGGAGCCUCAGCUUCACGAUUUGUCCUUCCAGUGAGCACUCAGGGCUGAUUUCCUUCAGAAUGGAUAGGUUUGAUCUGCUUGCAGUCCAUGGGACUCCCAAGAGUCUCCUCCAGCACCAUAAUUCAAAAGCAUCAAUUCUUUGGUGAUCAGCCUUCUUUAUGGUCCAGCUCUCACUUCCAUACAUCACUACUGGGAAAACCAUAGCUUUAACUAUAUGGACCUUCGUUCGCAAGGUGAUGUCUCUGCUUUUUAAGAUGCUGUCUAGGUUUGCCAUCGCCUUUCUCCCAAGGAACAGGCGUCUUUUAAUUUUGUGACUGCUGUCACCAUCUGCAGUGAUCAUGGAGCCCAAGAAAGUAAAAUCUCUCACUGCCUCCAUUUCUUCCCCUUCUAUUUGCCAGGAGGUGAUGGGACCAGUGGCCAUGAUCUUCGUUUUUUUGAUGUUGAGCUUCAGACCAUAUUUUGCGCUCUCCUCUUUCACCCUCAUUAAAAGGUUCUUUAAUUCAUCCUCACCUUCUGCCAUCAAGGUUGUGUCAUCUGCAUAUCUGAGGUUGCUGAUAUUUCUUCCAGCAAUCUUCAUUCUGGCUUGGGAUUCAUCCAGCCCAGCCUUUUGCAUGAUGAAUUCUGCAUAUAAGUUAAAUAAGCAGGGAGACAAUAUACAGCCUUGUCGUACUCCUUUCCCAAUUUUGAACCAAUCAGUUGUUCCAUAUCCAGUUCUAACAGUAGCUUCUUGUCCUACAUAGAGAUUUCUCAGGAGACAGAUGAGGUGAUCAGGCACUCCCAUUUCUUUAAGAACUUGCCAUAGUUUGCUGUGGUCGACACAGUCAAAGGCUUUUGCAUAGUCAAUGAAACAGAAGUAGAUGUCUUUCUUGAACUCUCUGGAACAGCAAUCUGUACAUUGACACAAUAAACAAUCCUGGGUCAAAUCAAGCUGUAAACACAACCAGACACCUUUGCAAACUGUAUUUAUAUAUGGUAUUCCCGUAUGGCAUUUUUAUAUGAUAUUCUUGACCAUGCAUCUGCAUCAUCAAGUUGCCAGACUCAGAGCAUCUAUUGUGAGCCAAACACACACACACACACACACACACAAAAUAACAUGUUUCGGCAUGUCUUUAUAGAAAGAAAGCCAGCCAGCGUUCUUUUUUCCCUUCCCUUUCAGCAUAAUUAUCCUCUUAAUUCCACCAGCUUUUAGUAAGGGCGAAUUGCUACAGGAUUAGCAAGCACCGUUCUAAAAACAAUUUAAUUCCCCCCAAGCACCACAUCCAUUAAAAAAAAUUGGGAUCAGUUUUUUAAAACCUCAUUUAUUUUUACAAACAAGGGACUCACAGUGUGUCCAGGGGAGCUCACUCACACAAAUACUGAAAGGAAUAAAGAAACAAACAACAUGGUUGGUCAGGGAAGCUGGAGCUUGAGUAUGUGUGGCCUUCAAGGCAAUAGCUCCGAGCAUGCUCAGAACAGAUGCAUGACUCAGAUAGGUCUUCCAGGUUGUUGUUGUUGAUGAUGUUGUUGAAUUUAUAUACCGCCCUAUACCUGGAGGUCUCAGUAAGGUAAAGGUAAAGGGACCCCUGACCAUUAGGUCCAGUCGCGGACGACUCUGGGGUUGCAGCACUCAUCUUGCUUUAUUGGCCAAGGCAGCCGGCGUACAGCUUCUGGGUCAUGUGGCCAGCAUGACUAAGCCGCUUCUGGCAAACCAGAGCAGCUCAGGGAAACACUGUUUACCUUCCCGCUGGAGCGGUACCUAUUUAUCUACUUGCACUUUUUGGCGUGCUUUCGAACUGCUAGGUGGGCAGGAACAGGGACCUGAGCAACAGGAGCUCACCCCGUCACGGGGAUUCGAACCACGACCUUCUGAUCGGCAAGUCCUAGGCCCACAGCGCCACCCGAGUCCCGGAGGUCUCAGUAGAUCUUCCAUUAUUCAGACUCACUAGCAUUAUGUGGACUUUUCUCUGCCAGAUGGAAAUCCACCUCUAGAGAGGACAUUAAAAAGGGGUUUGUGAUAUGACAUGGGGAAUCUGCUAUUAAGAAGGAAAGGGGAAAGGCUAAAAAUCCCACCGGCCAGAUCCAAGGCUUUGGGCACUCUUCCGUUAGGCCUUGGCAUCAGUGAUAUGGGAAUUCUUUGAGAGGGGAGGGGAAAGAAAUAAGCCUUUUUAUUGCAACCCAUUGAGCUUGUUCUGAAACAGGCCUAGAUGCACACUUACAGUUUGACCUGAGUCAGAAGUGUUGGGAAACACCCUGGGGUCGCCCGCAAACCCCUGGAACUCUGAGCAUCCUCCAAUGUGCUCAGUGACAUAUAUCAGCUUGAUAUAUGCACACUAAUCUUCUGGCAUAACACAGCAGGAAGAGUGAGAUAUCGUAGAUCUAAACUACUAAUUAUUUACACACUAUAUACAGACUGGACGCAGGUGGCACUGUGGGUUAAACCACACAGCCUAGGACUUGCCAAUCCGAAAGUCGGCGGUUCGAAUCCCAGCGACGGGGUGAGCUCCCGUUGCUCGGUCCCUGCUCCUGCCAACCUAGCAGUUUGAAAGCACGUCAAAGUGCAAGUAGAUAAAUGGGUACCAGUCCAGCGGGAAGGUAAACGGCGUUUCCGUGCGCUGCUGUGGUUCGCCAGAAGCGGCUUAGUCAUGCUGGCCACGUGACCCGGAAGCUGUACGCCGGCUCCCUUGGCCAGUAAAGCGAGAUGAGCGCUGCAACACCAGAGUCGGUCACGACUGGACCUAAUGGUCAGGGGUCCCUUUACCUUUUUAUAGACCGACUACAGCAUAAUGGCGACCGUUCUCUUCAGCUUCGAGAGAACAACCAGAAGGAAGUAAAAGCAAAAGUACAUUACAAAGUACAUACAAUGGAAGAAAGAUAAGGCUGUCUUCUGUCCCCACAGUCUUUUCAGACAGGUGUGUGAUUCACACUGGUCACAAUUUGCAGCAUCGGCUGCAUGAAAUACUAACAAGAAGGGGCUGGUUUGUCCCCUUGCCACUGACUCCUUUUGUUUCCUCAGUCAAGACUCACCUGACAGUGGUAGCACAGGUACCUGUUAGAGCCUCCCCAUCUCUUGGGGAAGAGAAGGGAGCCAGAGGUUGAGGAAGGUAAAGGUAAAGGACCCCUGGAUGGUUAAGUCCAGUCAAAGGCAACUAUGGGGUUGUGGUGCUUAUCUCUCUUUCAGGCCAAGGGAUAAUAAUAAUAAUAAUUUAUUAUUUAUACCCCGCCCAUCUGGCUGGGCUUCCCCGGCCACUCUGGGCGGCUUCCAAAAGAAUAUUAAAAUACUAUAAUACAUCAAACAUUAAAAGCUUCCCGAAACAGGGCUGCCUUCAGAUGUCUUCUAAAAGCCUGGUAGUUGUUGUUCUCUUUGACAUCUGGUGGGAGGGCGUUCCACAGGGAAGGCGCCACUACCGAGAAGGCCCUCUGCCUGGUUCCCUGUAACUUGGCUUCUCGCAGUGAGGGAACCGCCAGAAGGCCCUCGGUGCUGGACCUCAGUGUCCGGGUAGAACGAUGGGGGUGGAGACGCUCCUUCAGAUAUACUGGACCAAGGCCGUUUAGGGCUUUAAAGGUCAGCACCAACACUUUGAAUUGUGCUCGGAAACGUACUGGGAGCCAAUGUAGGUCUUUCAAGACCGGUGUUAUGUGGUCUCUGCGGCCGCUCCCAGUCACCAGUCUAGCUGCCGCGUUCUGGAUUAGUUGUAGUUUCCGGGUCACCUUCAAAGGUAGCCCCACGUAGAGUGCAUUGCAGUAAUCCAAGCGGGAGAUAACCAGAGCAUGCACCACUCUGGCGAGGCAGUCCGCAGGCAGAUAGGGUCUCAGCCUGCGUACCAGAUGGAGCUGGUAAACAGCUGCCCUGGACACAGAUUUGACCUGUGCCUCCAUGGACAGCUGUGAGUCCAAAAUGACUCCCAGGCUGCGCACCUGGUCCUUCAGGGGCACAGUUACUCCAUUCAGGACCAGGGAAUCCUCCACACCUGCCCGCCUCCUGUCCCCCCAAAACAGUACUUCUGUCUUGUCAGGAUUCAACCUCAAUCUGUUAGCCGCCAUCCAACCUCCAACCGCCAGAGUUUGUCCACAGACAGCUUUCCAGGUCAUGUGGCCAGCAGGACUAAGCUGCUUCUGGUGCGACGGGACACUGUGACAGAAACCAGAGCGCACAGAAACACCGUUUACCUUCCUGUUGCAGCGGUACCUAUUUAUCUACUUGCACUGGUGUGCUUUCAGACUGCUAGGUUGGCAGGAGCUGGGACAGAGCAAUGGAAGCUCAUCUAGUUGUGGGGAUUCGAACCGCCAACCUCACUCAGUGGUUUAGAUCACAGCGCCACCCGCUCCUUAUAUACAUAGGUUGAGGAAGACCCUAUGUUUAGGCAGGGUAGUGUCUAGGCUCGCAUCUCUCUCUCCCCCCACCCCUGAUCAUUGGGAACGUGACAAGGCCUUGGAAAGAAAGGUUUUAUUUUAAUUUUAGUUUGAAAAUGAAUUAUUUUACCCAAAUUAUUUUCCAGAUUGGGCCCGGGAAAUCUCACCAACCACUACUUGGGAUUCUAUCCUAUGUAUCUAUUCUCGCCCCCCUGAGAUGCACUGCAACGUUUAAAACCUAUUACAAAGAAAGCUAAUUUCAGAGUGAAGCCAAAGACCUCCCAUUGCAUUUUGCAUUACCCAGACCUCUGACAGGCCUAUUCAGUGAGGCCUUUCUGAUAUGUUGUGGAGAUUUUGAAAGUAAAGAAUUGCAAGAAAUGCAAUUUAAUCCCAAAGUCAUUACCUAAAUGCUGAGAUAGGAUAGGGAUUACCACCAAUGUAAAUGAGAUAUGAGACAGCCAAUGGAUUACAAGACCCUUUCUUUAGGAUGACUUCAGCAAAUAGGCUAAGAUAAGGAAAUCUUUGUAAUUACAUGGAGCUACAGUGGUCAAUUCUGACUUAAAUACUAAAGGGAUCCAGAAAAAAGAAAGUCAGAAAAACCUACAUGUGUUAUUCAGUGCAAAAUUAAGUAUUUCCUUUUUAAUUCUGCGCAAUCAAUAGAAGAGCAUCUCACCAAAUGAAAAGGCGAGGGCUGACUACAUGUCCCUUUGUGACUGGUAUCAUUUCAUCAUUUGGGUAAUAUCAUUUCCAAAUUAAAUUUUAUGGUCCAUUACAUACGAGCUCAAACACUUUUCUAAUGGAAUCUUAAAUAGAACUGACUUGCUUUGCGUGGGGUUUGUCUCUCAGUUAAGAUGUUAUUUAGUUCUAAUUAUCAAAUAAUGAACUCAGGAAAUUUAAUUUUUAAUAUUUAUAUGUCAGAAGUCUAUUGUUCGUGGGCUUAAGGUUUUAAAUUAAAAAUUAACAUGGAUGGAAUACUCAGUGAAUGUUUCCUCUGGGAGUGAGAACUGAGGUUCUGAGCAUUCAGAUUGCUGUUGUUUACCCCAAAGCGAAAAGUAUCACCAGCCCUCCACAGAGAGGAAAAAACGAAGGAUGUCCUCAGAUAAACAUCUAAAUCUUGAGUCUCCUUUGAACCAGUGAGGAAUCUUAAUUUUAAAAAAGAUAUUAUAGUACGAUGAGUUUUGUUUAUCUCCUCUCUGGAAGCCUGUCAAGCUAAUUCCAAUCAAAGAUAGGUGCCUAUAUUACCCCCUUGCUACAAUAUAGUUGGCUAAUAUUCCGUGUUAAUCAUACUCGGAAUAAACACAUUGAAAUCAAUUGACAUAAAAUUGAAGUCCUCUGAUUUCAAUAGGUCUGCUCUCUGACUAAUGUUAGCAGUCACCCUGUGAAAUAUACUCAGAGUCAAGAGUGGAUUUCAUGCUCUUUAUUUAGCUCAUAGUGGUGAGGAGGAAUGGAAGUUCCCCUACAAUAUCUGCUUUAUAUACAUUAUUUACACAAUGGGCUGCACGUGAUUGGCUAAUUCCGGGAUUCUCCUGUAGGCCAAUCAGGUUGUGGAGUCACUUCCACCUGGAGCUGGAUUGGGUGGCUCCUGCAGACCAGUCAUACUGCUGCAUUGUUCUAGGACCAAUCAGACUGCUGCAUUCUGAAUCCUAUUGUUCUAGGACCAAUCAGACUGCUGCAUUCUGAAUCCUAUUGUUCUAGGACCAAUCAGACUGCUGCAUUUUGGAUCCUAUUCAACUCAGUACAUAACACCCUGUGUCUUAUAUGUAUGGAUAUACCCACCAUGCAUUUUGGAAAGUGGUUUGUUCGGCUAUCUGUUAGGACACCUCUUGAAAUACCAUUGGCCAAUAUGAUUUGACUGUGGAGAAGCUGGGUUCUGUCAAUGUUUGGAUGCCAGGCGCCAUUUUGAAUCAUGAUGGCAGAUAGAAACAUUCCAAACUGCAUCAAUAAGGAGAAAUGGUAACCAAAUCUGGUGUGACUGUUCCAAACUGCACCAAUUUGGAUGCCUCUGAAGAUCUGAUUGUUCAGUUUGGCAUGGCUGUUCCCAUGGUGGGGAGCAGCUUUUGGCAAUUUGGAGUCACAAUGGGAGACAGAACCAUUCCAAACUGCACUGUAUUUGGACACCUCUGACAGUACUGUUGGCCAACUUGGCACGGCGGUACCCCAGGAGUGGCUUUGGGUCUGUGUUUGGACAUUGUCAGGUGCCAUUUUGAAUCAAGAUGGCAGACCAAACUGUUCCCAACUGCAUGCAUUCAGACAUCUUUUAAGACAGGGGUCAGCAAACUUUUUCAGCAGGGGGCUGGUCCACUGUCCCUCAGACCUUGGGGGGGUGUGUGUGUGGACUAUAUUUUGAAAAAUAAUAAUGAACGAAUUCCUAUGCCCCACAAAUAACCCAGAGAUGCAUUUUAAAUACAGUGGUACCUCAGGUUAAGUACUUAAUUCGUUCUGGAGGUCCGUACUUAACCUGAAACUGUUCUUAACCUGAAGCACCACUUUAGCUAAUGGGGCCUCCUGCUGCCGCCGCGCCGCCAGAGCACGAUUUCUGUUCUCAUCCUGAAGCAAAGUUCUUAACCUGAAGCACUAUUUCUGGGUUAGCGGAGUCUGUAACCUGAAGUGUAUGUAACCUGAAGCGUAUGUAACCUGAGGUACCACUGUAAAAGCACACAUUCUACUCAUGUAAAAACACGCUGAUUCCCAGACCGUCCGUGGGCUGGAUCCAGCCCCUGGGCCUUAGUUUGCCUACCCAUGUCUGAAGAUAUCAUAACCAAAUUUGGUGUGAGGGUUCCUGAGAUGGAGGAGUGGGGUUUUGUCUAUGUCUGGAAACCUCUGGAAAUGUCUGGAAACUUGAUUUUGAAUCAAGACUGUAGACUCCACUUUUAAAAACUACACUGAUUAUAACCAAAUUUGGCAGGAAACCAGGAGUUUUUUUCUAGACAGAACUUGCCGGAACUCGUUUCCACCACCUCUCAGGUGGGUACCACUGCCAUUAUAAGAGAACAAGGGAGGUGUUCAUGGUGAGUUCAGGCACCUCUUUUUCUAGAAAAAUAGCACUGUAGGAAACUAAUAGUGCUACACGCCAGAUUUGGCCAGCAAGUCAGGAACAGGUCCUGGUCAAUCCACCUGGAGUGAUCUGGGGCUGUAAGGGGCAGUGUGUUUCACUAGUUGUUGAACAGAGGGGCUUCAGUGUUGUUCGUCUAGUAGAUGAAAAGCGCUUGACUGGAAGAUACAAAGGAUUGCUGCUGUUUGACUUAUUGAGCAUUGGUCCUGAUGAGUUUGCAGAGAGAUUAGACAAUGUGUACAGAAAAUGUUAUCCCACACUUCCAUUCCUGCUUUCAGGGGAGGGAAAUUUGCCUCAGCCCUCCAGGGGAAAAGAAACUCAAUGUGCUCUUUAGCCACCUGGGAUUCUAGGAGGGGGCAGGCUAGCCUGAAAUUUUGCAGAGCCCCCCUCACGUAGGGUUGCCCUAUUUCAAAAUAUGAACACAAAAAUAUGAACACAAAAGUUGCUGAGCUUUUCUUGGCCAAAGAUUUCCCCGGACAGUUCAACAAUUUUCGCCUGGGCGCUGCUUAAGGGGGCUGAAGAACUGUCUAUGUCCAGAAAAUUCUGAAUGGGUGGCAACCCUGAACAUUCUGAACAUAUAACAAUGGGGACUCUCUUUUUUUUUUUUUUAAAUAUUUAUUAAAGUUUCAAGAAAUACAAAAAAGAAAAAGAAAAAGAAAAAUAUACAGAGUACAAAAUAUAGCAAAAAAUAGAGAAUAAAAAAGAAACAUACAAAAUAAAACAGUUAAAAAGACAUUGAUUUUCCAAACCUAUCUUCCCUUCUCUUAUUUCCCCGGACCUCCUCAUACCUCCCUUCUUUGUAUUCCAGUUCAGUUUGUUAGUUCAGCAAAUCCUUACCAUUAAACUUUUACCCAAUUGUUAACCUUUUUUUUCAUAUCUCUUAAAGCAUUACAGCUAAAAACCUCUUAGUUUCUAUCCAACAUCCUUCUAAAGUUCCUUAAUUUUGCAAUAUUUCUGUAAAUAGUCUUUAAAUUUCUUCCAGUCUUCUUUCACCGAUUCUUCUCCCUGGUCUCGGAUUCUGCUGGUCAUUUCCGCCUCUCUUUUUGGCAUUAUUUGGCUGUUUGGCAUCCAGGUACGGCCUUAAUUCACUGCCACUGUGAGACACUUUGCGGGUAAGGGGUACUCUUGAGUCAUCACCCGUAGCCAUUCGAGGGGGGAUUUGGGUGCCUACACACCAUGGUGAACACUGAACCAUAGGGUCUGGGUACAUAGGUUGGGCUUCAAUUGCCAAAGUCUCACUUAGUCAAGAGGGGUAUAUUUCUCCCCCACCUUUGGCUGGGGUGCCAACAACAUGCAAGCUUACAUGCCCAGGGAGGUCACUGAUUCCUCCUGCUCACACUUAGUUAUUUAACCAGUUCGCAGAUUCUCUAAUUUGUUAAAUUGUAAUACAGUGGUUGGGACGCAGGUGGCGCUGUGGGUUAAACCACAGAGCCAGGACUUGCCGAUCAGAAGGUCUGUGGUUCGAAUCCCCGCGACGGGGUGAGCUCCCGUUGCUCAGUCCCAGCUCCUGCCAACCUAGCAGUUCGAAAGCACGUCAAGCUGCAAGUAGAUCAAUAGGUACCACUCCGGCGGGAAGGUAAACGUCGUUUCUGUGCGCUGCUCUGGUUCGCCAGAAGCGGCUUACUCAUGCUGGCCACAUGACCCGGAAGCUGUACGCAGGGCUCCCUCGGCCAAUAAAGUGAGAUGAGCGCCGCAACCCCAGAGUCAGUCACGACUGGACCUAAUGGUCAGGGGUCCCUUUACCUCCCUUAAUACGUGGUACCUUGGGUUACAGACACUUCAGCUUACAGAUGCUUUAGGUUCCGUACUCUGCUAACCCAGAAAUAGUACCUCGGGUUAAGAACUUUGCUUCAGGAUGAGAACAGAAAUCGCGUGGCGGCAGUGGGAGGCCCCAUUAGCUAAAGUAGUACCUCAGGUUAAGAACAGUUUCAGGUUAAGAACGGACCUCCAGAACGAAUUAAGUUCUUAACCCGAGGUACCACUUUAAAUAUAAGCUUUUUCAUCACUUGAUUACUUGUCCCGAGUCUUCUUUCUGGGUACAAUUCCCAUCACUUUUCUUAUCACAAAAAUUUGGGGAUGACGCAGGUUUGUUGAGCAAGGACGCCAACUCAACUUUGGUUGUGCAACUUGAAUUAACCGGUAUGUAAUCGAUUCCCACCUUGAAAAUAGCAACAGUCUGGAAGCACACAAAGGAUUUUUUAGGAUCUCUGUGUAUCUGGUUCUUCCUUCAUGUCACCUGCGGAACCCAAUUCAUGUCUGAAAAAGAACCCCCUUCUGGACUUUGGACAUCAGGUUGCCCUCCUGCAUAUCCUUGGUAGACUUAAAGGUAAAGGGACCCCUGACCAUUAGGUCCAGUCGCGGACGACUCUGGGGUUGCAGCGCUCAUCUCACUUUACGGUGUACAGCUUCCGGGUCAUGUGGCCUGCAUGACUAAGCUGCUUCUGGUGAACCAGAGCAGUGCACGGAAACGCUGUUUACCUUCCCACCGGAGUGGUACCUAUUUAUCUACUUGCACUUUGACAUGCUUUCGAACUGCUAGGUUGGCAGGAGCAGGGACCGAGCAAUGGGAGCUCACCCCGUCGCGGGGAUUCGAACCGCCGACCUUCUGAUUGGCAAGCCCUAGGCUCUGUGGUUUAACCCACAACGCCACCCGCGUUGUGUACCCGUUGGUACACUUAAAAGGUAAAGGUAAAGGGCCCCUGACCAUUAGGUCCAGUCGUGGCCGACUCUGGGGUUGCGGCGCUCAUCUCGCUUUACUGGCCGAGGGAGCCGGCGUACAGCUUCCGGGUCAUGUGGCCAGCAUGACUAAGCUGCUUCUGGCGAACCAAAGCAGCGCACGGAAACGCCAUUUACCUUCCCCCCCUGGAGCGGUACCUAUUUAUCUACUUGCACUUUGACGUGCUUUUGAACUGCUAGGUUGGCAGGAGCAGAGACCGAGCAACGGGAGGUCACCCCGUUGCGGGGAUUCAAACCGCCAACCUUCCGAUCGGCAAGCCCCAGGCUCAGUGGUUUAACCCACAGCGCCACCUGUGUCCCUUUGGUACACUUACUCCCUUUUUAAAUCGGUGAACUCAUGUGUCUAGGAUUGCAACAUCAGUUAAUUCAAAACCAUUUACCUAUUCCUUCUGCUGCCUAUCUCUGAGUGUUGCUUUGCAUAUUAUGAGAAGCCAUGGAAAGCAGGUGCACAGAUGACUUGUGUUUCUGACUUACCUGCUUUCCUGUGAAAUGUUCUGAGUGCAAAUGAUACUGUUAUCAGUCCCCCCUUUGCUGCAGCUUGUGUCAGGAAGCAAUCCCCAAUGAAACAUCCAUAGAAUGGAGAGGUUUGUGCUGUGUACAGCAUUGCACUUGCAAAGGCUGCAACCCUGUUAUUUAUUUUUAAAUCAGCAAAUGGAAAAACACACGUUUAAAGCACUUGUUAUAUUUUACCUGAAACUUCCCUGGUCUUUUAUUACCUGAAAAGACUGUGUUAGCAUGGCUCUCAGCUGGUAUAAUGGUACUUUUUCUAAUUCGCUUUGUGUAAUUGAAUAGUAAAUUAGUUUGAUUAAUAAACACCUACAGCAACUCAAUAGUACGAAUUUAAGCUGCCGUGCUCCCAUAAAUAUGAGCGCUGCUUGCUAAAGCAGACUCUCUGAUUUUUUUAUUGUUUCUUCUUGAAUACUUGAAAUAACAACAGUAACAACAACAUCUCAAUGUGGUUUUUUUUUGAACUUCAACCUACAACUGAUUAAUUUGCAUGAUUAAUCAGCUAUACCUUAAGCUAAAAUAUUCUCUUCUGUUCUUCCUCCCAGUUAAAUGAUGGGAUUCUAUCACAAGCAACAGAGUUUUGAAGUCAGGAUUCUCAAAGGGGAAACUGCCGUGGUCUUCAGAAAUUGUGCUUCAUUCGGCUUAGUGUCCAAGCUGAUCUAUAAAUACUUGCAAAAACAUGAGAGGUAAAACUCAAACCAUCAUAGCAGCAGUAUUCCCUCUUUUUAAAAGCUUUUUAUUGCUUUAUUGAUUUUAAAAAGAAAAUUACUAUCAAGAAAAAGAAUAUAUAUAUAUAUAUAAAAACCAAAGAGUAUUACAAUUUACAAAAGAUAAAUUAAUUUUAACAACACAGCUUCUAUUAUGACUUCCAUUCAUCCCAUCAGGGGUCCUAGUUUUCUUAUGAGUAGUGCACUUUUCAUUAUCACUCCAAACUUUUCCCCAAUUUUCAUAUGCUUUCCCAGGAGUCUGUCUAAGUCUAAGCCUACCAAAGAAUUCACAUUUUUACAAUGCUCUUUAAGGUAUUUUCUGUAAAUGUCCCACUCUCCAAUAAAUGCUUCUUCUGUAUUAUCUCUAAUUCUUCCUGUCAUUCUUGCUAUUUCUGUAUAUUCCAAUAAUUUCACAGUAUUCUCAACUGGUUGAUUAUAAACAUUGCAUCAUGGUCAUUAUCCUAAACUUGCAUGCCUAUUAGAGAUAUAUAGAAUUCCCUGGCCUCCAUUUUGUUACUCCAUUGUUCUUAAAGGUAAAAUUCAUUUUGUUUUAAUUAUUUAUUAAAUAUUGUCAAUAUCCAAACCACCCGUCACCAGUGACCUUUGUCCAAGGGGUACUUACAACAAUUGGUUAAUAAUCCAUGGAGAUCAUGUUCAGUUCAUCUUUACAUUAAUUUUCUCUCCCUUUCUUUAACUAUUCUUGGAUGCCACCAUUUCAUUUACUCAGAAUACCUUCAAUGUUGUAUCAUUGCUGUAAAUCGGGUCCUCUCUUAAAGAGGGCACAUAUUGCGGUGAGACCUUGACAACCGAUACCCUGUGUUGUGGGUGGGUACAUUGGUCAGCCAAACACCUGAUUGGUAGGUCCCUUGAAGCUGGGUGCAAUCUGGCCAAUGGGACGCAGUCUAAACGGUUCGAGGGACCUAUUUAUGCCCAUGCACAUGACUCAGAGCUUCCUUUUUCGGCACGUGCAUUUAAAACACCCGCCCACCUCUCCCUACUUUUAGGGCUUGUUGCACUUGACUUUGCUAUGCCGUCGUGUGUCGUCUGUCGUUGGGACAGGGGCACGGCAGGAAUUUUCCCCACUUGGCUGAUUGGCUGUUGCCAUUUGGGUUUUGCCUGCCACAUAGCAAAUACUCACAACUUGUAAGGCUGCGGAUAGGCUCUGGUUCAGGUGACAGGGAUGGGAGAACGCUCUCGCCAUCCCUAUGUGAAGGGUAUUCCGUUAAAGGAAUCCAGGGACUUGACGGUUUGGUCAACCCCCGAGAAGGGGUUGUGCCUGUGCCUGAAAGAUUUGGGUUACACAGUCUAUGAUGGUAGGUCACCCCUAGCAUAUGACUUGUGGAUCUGAAGCAAGGGUGGGCCCUGGGGUGUGUGAUGAGGGCUUGGGCAGAACAGCGACGGGGUUGGAGUACCACCUUUGGGAGAGAGGUCAGAAGCAGCUAUAAGUGGAACCAUUUUGUAUGGAACUCUUGGUAUCCGGAAGACUCUGUGUGACUUCAGAAGGCAGCUUAAACUGAUCAUAUUCAGUAGUUCCCCUUCUAUAUUAGAGAGGUCGCAGCUGGCUUUAUCAAAGAUUGAAGAGGAUGGGACGCAAAAACAAAAGGCAGAUAGGCAGAAGACAAAGCAUAUUUCACCCUCAGCAUGUAUUUGUUCUGCUGCUUUUGAUUUAAUCUGAAUAUCUUCAUGUGUGCUCAAGGAAACCUUUUUGGCCUAGGAGAGUCUCUCUCAACACACUGGGGAAUGUGCUCUGUUUUUCCAUUAGGCUAAGAUGUAUGAUUUAACAAACCAACAAAUUAUCUUUCCAUUUCUAAUUGAUUUAAAAACAAUUGCUUUGCUGUUGCUUCACAGGAGGCUGGGUCUUUAAUUGUCACAAGGUCACUUUGUAAGUUUUAAUUGCUGGGUGCUGUUCUGUCCUUUCAUGGCUUUCAAGGUGAUAAAUGGUUCUCCGGUUCAAAAGCUAGUCUAUAUAAACAAGCUUAUCUCUGCCCAUAGUCUUCAAUGAAAAAUGAGUUGUGAGUAUCAUUGUUAAUCAUGGUAAUUGUUAAUGUUAAGAGGGCUGGUAUUAUGAGUUUUCCUAUUAGACUUUCAAUUCAUUAUAUAAAAUGAACAAUCUAGUAGCCAUCUAGAGCAUUCUAAUUUUAAUUAACCAGCGGCUGCAUUUCAGGUGAUCCUCUUCUUCAUGGAAAUUAGCAAAAUCUUGCAGAGGCACACACAAAGGCUCAGUUCUCCAAUAGCUGUGCCCUGAUUUUUAUAUUUGGGGUUAGUUUGAUAGGUGCAUCUCUCCUCGUGGACACUUAGGGAGGCUUACAUCCAAUAUGCAACUGGUAUUAAUUUCUUCAGUUUCCUGUAGCAAAGCAAUGGUUUCAGUGGCGUGUGAUGAAUUUUUCCGUAGGGGAACAGUAAGGGCCAGAGGUGCCAGCUAUCAAGGGCGAUUGGGGCGGACGGGACGUCAAGCAUGCCUCCCUCCCUAAUAAAUAAUAAUAAUAAUAAAUUUUAUUUAUAUCAUGCCCUCCCCAGCUGAAGCCGGGCUCAGAGCAGCUAACAACAAUAAAAUAAUACAACAUUCUAAAAUCAUUUCAUUCUAAAAUUAAUUCAAAUCCAAUUGAUGGCAACCAUUGGGCUAGAGUUCUGUGAAGAUUGCCAAAGGAAGGAGUUAGGCUGUGCCCUGGCCAAAGGCUUGGUGGAACAGCUCUGUCUUGCAGGCCCUGCGGAAAGAUGUCAAGUCCCGCAGGGCCCUAGUCUCUUGUGACAGAGCGUUCCACCAGAUCGGAGCCACAGCCGAAAAAGCCCUGGCUCUAGUUGAGGCCAGCCUAACCUCUCCGUGACCUGGGACCUUCAAGAUGUUUCUGUUUGAAGACCGUAAGGUCCUCCGUGGGACAUACCAGGAGAGGCGGUCCCGUAGGUAUGAGGGUCCUAGGCCGUAUAGGGCUUUAAAGGUUAAAACCAGCACCUUAAACCUGAUCCUGUACUCCACCGGGAGCCAGUGCAGCUGGUAUAGCACUGGGUGGAUGUGAUCUCGCAGCGAGGACCCCUAAGCCGGGCAGAAGCUUCCUGGGCUUUGGGAAGGAGGCUCCAGGCUUUAAUACUCUAAUUUACCAGGGACAUUUAGGCGGACUCAUAGCUAGGGAGGGUCUAGCCAGGGUUUCGGCUCCGGGCGAAGCUUCCAGGGGUUGCCAUUGAGGCUCCCAGCCUCCCAGCAUGUCUGGGCUUCAGCAGGAAAGAGGAAAAAGUGAAUGGCAGCCACGAGCCCCCCGUCCUUCCCCUUUCCCCAUGAAGCUGAAGAAGGCUCAUUUGUGUGUCGAGACCCCGCAGCCACCCCCUUGUUGGAAAUAACUCACACAAGGACACAGAUAUUAGGUUUAUGUUAUUGGGCAAAUUUUGGCCACAACUUUAUUGAGUUACAGAAUGUGAGCGGUAUUGGCUUAGGCAUUGAUUGGACCUGACUAUAUCUGAUUCCUGCCCAUUGUGCAGGAAGUCCGCUAAGGGUAAGCCACUGGUAGGGGGAGCCCUGUCGAUGCGAACCAACUCAAGCUCCCCCUGGUGUUCCCGUCGGGGUCGUGUCAAGGCCUUAGCCCCCCAGCCGGGCUUCAGACUAGAACAACACCCCCGGAUUCCUUUAAUGGAAUACCCUUAAGCAUGGAGGGGCAGGUGAUGGGCACACCUCCCCUCCCCCCCACAAGGUCAAACAAUGCCUAACUGGAACCCUAACAAAGUUGUGGUGAUUGCUAUGAGGUAGGCAAAAACCUACCCGUUGCUCGGUCCCUGCUCUUGCCAACCUAGCAGUUCGAAAGCACAUCAAAGUGCAAGUAGAUAAAUAGGUACCGCUCCAGCGGGAAGGUAAACUGCGUUUCCAUGCGCUGCUCUGGUUUGCCAGAAGCGGCUUAGUCAUGCUGGCCACAUGACCCGGAAGCUGUAUGCCUGCUCCCUCGGCCAAUAAAGCGAGAUGAGCACCGCAAUCCCAGAGUCGGUCACGACUGGACCUAAUGGUCAGGGGUCCCUUUACCUUUACCUAUGCGAAAACCAAGUGGCCAGUGCCAAUUUGCCAAGUGGAAAAAUUCCUACCAGGCCCCUUGGACAACCAAGGCGACGAGCCGAAGUCCAUAGCAAGGCCAUUACCUAACCUGCAAAAUAGGGAGGGAGGGCAGGUGAUUGAGGAAGCGAGCCAAAGAGGAAGUCCUCUGGCGUCCCUUACAUGGCACCUUAAAUGACUACAAAAGUAUCGUUUCCUAAGAUAAGUAAUCAAACAAAAAUAAAAUGGAAAGGAAUCUUGUUGAAGCUUACUUGGGAGUAAAUUUACAAAGAACCAAGAAGAGGGGUGGGUGGCAAAAAGCCUCAAAAAGGAAGAAAAAACAAUUUUAAGAGGAAACCAGCUUAAAAAAUGGGUAAAGGACCCCUGAAAGGUUAAGUCCAGUGAAAGUCUACUAUGGGGUUGCGGCCCUCAUCUCACUUUCAGGCCGAGGGAGCCGGUGUUUGUCCACAGACAGCUUUCUGGGUCAUGUGGGAACUUGUGUCUCUCUAGAUGUUGCUGGAAUACAAUCAUAAGACGCUAAAAAGAGCCUGCUCCAGCAUCCUGUUGUCAUAGGGGCCAACCAGAUGCUUAAAUAGGAUUUGAGCAACUGGAAUUCAGGAGUAUUACUGUGUGCUGCUGUGAAGACAGAACAUUGCCAUUGUAGUGGGGUAGGGGAGCUGAAAAUAAGGCCAAUAUAUUUCGCAUCUGGCAAACUGAAAUAUACUCAGAGUCAAGAGUGGAUUUCACGCUCUUUAUUCAGCUCAUAGUGAUGAGGAGGAAUGAAAGUUCCCCCAAAGUAUCUGCUUUAUAUACAUUAUUUACACAAUGGGCUGCACAUGAUUGGCUAAUUCUGGGAUUCUCCUGUAGGCCAAUCAGGUUGUGGAUUCACUUCCACCUGGAGCUGGACUGGGUGGCUCCUGCAGACCAGUCAUUCUGCUGCAUUGUUCUAGGACCAAUCAGACUGCUGCAUUCUGAAUCCUAUUGUUCUAGGACCAAUCAGACUGCUGCAUUUUGGAUCCUAUUGUUCUAGGACCAAUCAGACUGCUGCAUUUUGGAUCCUAUUCAACUCAGUACAUAACACAAACAAUGUGCCCCUUGGGUUUCAGAUAGUCAAAUCCCCAUGACGGAGUGAGCUCCCGUUGCUCUGUCGCAGCUCCUGCCAACCUAGCAGUUCGAAAGCACACCAAUGCAAGCAAAUAAAUAGGUACCACUGUGGCAGGAAGGUAAGUGGCGUUUCCAUGCACUCUGGUUUCCAUCAUGGUGUUCUGUUGCACCAGAAGCGGUUUAGUCAUGCUGGCCACAUGGCCUGCGUGGGCAGGGGAAGGACUAGACCAUGGGUAGGCAAACUAAGGCCUGGGGGCCAGAUCCGCCCCAAUCGCCUUCUAAAUCCGGCCCGCGGACAGUCCGGGAAUCAGCAUGUUUUUACAUGAGUAGAAUGUGUGCUUUUAUUUAAAAUGCAUCUUGGGUUAUUUGUGGGGCAUAGGAAUUUAUUCAUUUCCCCCCCAAAAAUAUAGUCUGGCCCCCCACAAGGUCUGAGGGACAUUGGACCGGCCUCCUGCUUUAAAAGUUUGCUGACUCCUGGACUAGACCAUAUGAAAAAUGAACACAAUAUUUUAGCCGCAGUUCAUUCAUUUUCAGCUUUGUAUUUUUGUUAUUAAUAAAGCAUGCCUAAAAAAGCAGAGACAUCACCUUGCCAACAAAGGUCCGUAAAAGCUAUGGUUUUCCCAGUAGUGAUGUAUGGAAGUGAGAGCUGGACCAUAAAGAAGGCUGAUCGCUGAAGAAUUGAUGCUUUUGAAUUAUGGUGCUGGAGGAGACUCUUGAGAGUCCCAUGGACUGCAAGAAGAUCAAACCUAUCCAUUCUGAAGGAAAUCAGUCCUGAGUGCUCACUGAAGGACAGAUCCUGAAGCUGAGACUCCAAUACUUUGGCCACCUAAUGAGUAGAGAAGACUCCCUGGAAAAGACCCUGAUGUUGGGAAAGAUGGAGGGCACAAGGAGAAGGGGAGGACAGAGGACGAGAUGGUUGGACAGUGUUCUCGAAGCUACCAGCAUGAGUUUGACCAAAGUGCGGGAGGAAGUGGAAGAUAGGAGUGCCUGGCGUGCUCUGGUCCAGGGGGUCAAGAAGAGUCGGACACGACUAAACGACUGAACAACAACAAACAAGACAUUCUGUUUUUGCGCCCAUAACCUAGGUUUAAGGUGCCCUUUAGCUCCUAGGGUCCCUAUCUUAGUUUCUAACACUGCCACAGACACAUUGGAAGUGAGAUCUCUGGUGAUUUUGGUGAGGGAGGUUUCAGCGGAGAACAGACGGUAGACGCCUCAUUAAAGAGGGUCAAGAGAAAAGUUGUGGGGAAGAAAAUGGAAACACGGGAGUAAACAGCACACACUAGAGUUCAGUCAUGAAGGGUGGAAGAGAAAUUGGAUCUUGAAGCAAGCCAUAGACGAAUUUGUGACUAUCUCCAGUUGACUUGGGACGCGGGUGGCGCUGUGGGUUAAAUCACAGAUCCUAGGUCUUGCCGAUCAGAAGGUCGGCGGUUUGAAUCCCCGCGAUGGGGUGAGCUCCCAUUGCUCGGUCCUUGCUCCUCCCAACCUAGCAGUUCGAAAGCACAUCAAAAGUGCAAGUAGAUAAAAAGGUACCGCUCUGGUGGGAAGGUAAACGGCGUUUCCGUGCGCUGCUCUGGUUCGCCAGAAGCGGCUUAGUCAUGCUGGCCACAUGACCCGGAAGCUGUACGCCGGCUCCCUCGCCCAAUAAAGCGAGAUGAGCGCCGCAACCCCAGAGUCGGUCAGGACUGGACCUAAUGGUCAGGGGUCACUUUACCUUUACCUUUUACCAGUUGACUUAGGCAGCGGAAGCCCAGCUGUGGGCGCCCCUCCUGCCUUGCCGCCUCCACCGUCAGCACUGAUUUUGUUGUGUUUUGGGGUUCUUUGGUACAAUUUUUAUUGAUUUUCUUUUCUCAUAACAAAUAUUCAAUAUCUUUACUUAACAUUCAUUUCCCAGUCCCCCCCCCCCCCCCGUUGACUUCCCCCAACUUCCAUUUCUGGUUUGUUCCACCAAAUGUUACAAUCUGCUGUUUAUACAUAAUAUUAUGUUGUCACCUGUUAUAUUUCUUGUUCUCUGUAAAUAAAAUUGUAAAUGCUUGUUUAAAUCCUGCCAACGAGUCCAUUCUUUUUUUGUUUUUGUUUCUGCAAGUAAGUUGUAAAAGGUUCCCAUUCCUUUUCAGAGUCACUAUUGUCCUUUUCACGCAAUUUGUCCAUUAGCUUUGCUAGCUCUGCAUAGUUCAUCAGUUUUUUUUUGCCAUUGUUCUUUAGAUGGUAUUUCUCCAGUCUUCCAGUUUUGUGCUGUUAGAAUUCUUGCUGCGGUUGCAGCGUACAUAAAUAAUGUCCGAUUUUUCUUCGGCAAUUCUUGUCCUAACAAAAAAAGCUUCUGAUUUUGGACAUGGUCACGUCCUGAGAUCUUCUGGAGCAUGCAAGAUCUCAUGCGAUUUGGUCUUGCCCCAAAUCACCACAAUCUUGCCCAAAAUCGGCAUCAAUAGCAGUGGCAAUGUGUUUUAAAAAUGCAAUCUGUCUGUGCAUGGAUGAAAUCAUGCAAAUUUGCUAUGCUAAAAAGAAAGCAAGUAAAGGUAAAGGGACCCCUGACCAUUAGGUCCAGUUGUGGCCGACUCUGAGGUUGCGGCGCUCAUUUCAUUUUAUUGGCCAAGGGAGCCGGCGUACAGCUUCCAGGUCAUGUGGCCAGCAUGACUGAGCUGCUUCUGGCGAACCAGAGCAGCACACGGAAACACUGUUUACCUUCCUGCCAGAGCGGUACCUAUUUAUCUAUUUGCACUUUGACGUGCUUUUGAACUGCUAGGUUGGCAGAAGCUGGGACCGAGCAACGGGAGCUCACCCCGUCUUGGGGAUUCGAACCGCCGACCUUCUGAUCGGCAAGUCCUAGGCUCUGUGGUUUAACCCACAGCACCACCCGCAUCCCAAAAAGAAAGUAAGAAGUCUCAAAAACGAAGGAGGAAACACAAGACAAUGGCCAGAAAGACGAUAGUUGGAGACUUUUGCAAAGACCAGUCAUUCAGAUGCAUGUACUAAUUUAAUGAGUUGGCAUGGGGGGGGGAAGGUAUCUCACAAAGCGGAGCAAAACCAGUGACAUAUCGUGGAAUGGGCUGUAGUCUUUGAACCCUCCACAUGCAAUUCUUUGUAGUGAAUUGUGUGAAAAAUCGCCCAUCUGUGUGCACCAUAAAGUUAUAGAGUGUCUGCAGUAGGUAGUAGAAAGGAAAUUGUGUAAUAAUUCAAUAUUUUCAUGCUUGCUGCAUUACAAUUAUGAUGUUAAUUAAUUAUCUGCCUGGCAGUUAACACCAUCCAGAGGCAUGGUUGCGGUUGACUUGGUGCUGUUCUGCUAGCAGUGAGUAAUUAACCUCUCCUCUUCUCUGGGAUUCUCUACAAGAUGAUCAUCAUGUUGAUGAUAUAAUUAUUAUUAAUUCAGUUUCUGUGUUUCGUUGACAUUGUUAAUUACUUGUCGGUAAUCAGCUAAUGUUUAAUCUUCAUUGUUGGAUAGCUUCUUAAAAGGCUGCUUUAAAUGGUUCAGAGGGGCUUCCACCAUAACCUCAGUGCCUGAAGUGCCAGGAAGAUCAGCAGUCGGAAUAAAUUACCUAAAUUAUCUUCAAAUCAGGAUUUCUGGAUCUAAUUAGAUUGCUGUUGGCUUUGUUAUAUGCAGGAUACGGAGCUACCAUCAAUAAAUCAAGGAAACAAGCUCAUGUGCUUUUUUGGUGCCAACUUUAAGAAUUGAUCACAAUUGCAGACUUGCCAAUAUCACUUAAAGAACAUCAUUUAAUUUAGUGUUCUUUUUGUUUUGGAGGGUUCCUGAUUCUUCACAAAAGAACUGGCCUGGGCACAGUUUCUUUCCUAGCAAAGUUUUCUUAUGUCUUAAUCAGCAGGUGAAACACCUGUACAUAUGGUUAAGAAAGUUGCAAUGUGACACUUCCUAGAGCAAAAACCUUUCUUCUUCUUCUUGGUUAUCAAUUCUGUUAGACCAGUUUUCCAGAAAGUUACUCUAAAGUUUGUGAACCUUGAUACAAUAUUUCAGUUACUUAUAAAUCUAAAAUAUCUGAACCUUGGAAAGUGUGACAUUACUUACUUUUGCAGUUGAAACUCACCCUACUGGAACGCAGUUGAACUCCCCUGCCCUGUUCUAAAAUGGCUGAUACUAAAACAGGCAGCCCAAGAAUAAUUCAUUUGAGGGAAUGAAGGGCUGGUAAAAUCCAUUAGCAGGGGAGCAAGGAAUUUAUUUUUGUUACACAUUCCACAUAAUUUGUACAACUGGGAUUUCAUUUGGUAACACAUUAUUUAGCUUAGUGAAGUUGUUGUGAGCAUACAGCAAAUCUGUCAAACAAUUCUCUUCAGAUCCAGAGACUUUGACAACUCUUUUCCCCUCUCCAAAUGCAAGGGAAGCUAAAUCCUUUAACCAGGCACUUGUCAUGCAAUUCCUCACAGAAUCUUUUACCCUCCUAUAACCUGAAAAUGCAAUGGCAAACCUGACAGAAUAACAUUCACAAUUACUAUAGAAGUUAUAUAGAUGGUAUAGAAGGGAAAUUUGUGUUUAUAUACUGGGAGGGGGGAAGAAUUAACGGUGCAAGCCAAUAUAUGCCUACUCAGAAGUAAGCCUCAAUUUAUUGAGGUUUAUUCCCAGCUAAGUGGGAAUUCAGCCUCUUAGACUGCAACCCCAAAUUGCUACUGUGGCCAGGGCCAUCUUUACCUGGGGGUGCAGGACACCCGGGCGCUGAAAUCUGGGGGGCGGCAGGCACUAGCCACUGAAGCCGCCUAAGGCGAAGGGUGAGAGGACAGAGGAGCGAGCGAGCGGAGGACGAGGCGGCCUUUGCCGUGCCCGAGGUUGCAGCGCAAGGAAGUGCGCCGCUGCCAAUCACCGCCUGGCUCCCCACCAAGCAGCCAUCGCUGGGCGCAUCACGUGACACCCGCUUGGUGCCAGAAUGGUAGUCAUAGUCAGUGGCGUAGCGUGGGUUGUCAGCACCCGGGGCAAGGGAAGUAAUUUGCGCCCCCUAACCCGUGGAUUUUAGCACUCAAGUGCGAGCGCCCCCCCAGAUGUUGCGCCUGGUGUGGCCGGCCCCCCCUGCACCCCCCACGCUACGCUACUGGUCAUAGUCAUAGCAACAACUUGACGUGGCACAGAGAGAGAGCGAGGCCCGGCUACCUGGCUGGCUGCGGGCGCGGGAGAUGGUGGGCGGCAGGAAGGAGAGGAGGGAAGCAGCAGCUUUGGGUUUCUCAUGACAUCCUCUUCUUAGCGGCCGCCACAGAGCACGCCAUAUGCUUGAGAAUAAGUGUACUGUCAGUGAGAGCUGGACCAUAAAGAAGGCUGAUCGCCAAAGAAUUGAUGCUUUUGAAUUAUGGUGCUGGAGGAGACUCUUGAGAGUCCCAUGGACUGCAAGAAGAUCAAACGUAUCCAUUCUUAAGGAAAUCAGCCCUGAGUGCUCACUGGAAGGACAGAUCCUGAAGCUGAGACUCCAAUACUUUGGCCACCUCAUGAGAAGAGAAGACUCCCUGGAAAAGACCCUGAUGUUGGGAAAGUUUGAAGGCAAAAGGAGAAGGGGAAGACAGAGGACGAGAUGGUUGGACAGUGUUCUCAAAGCUACCAACAUGAGUCUGACUAAACUGCGGGAGGCAGUGGAAGACAGGAGGGCCUGGCAUGCUCUGGUCCAGGGGGUCACGAAGAGUCGGACACGACUAAACGACUAAACGACAACAACAACAUUGUCAAUAAAUGAGCAAAUCAAAAAGUUUCUUUUUCCUCCCUUCUUUCGUAAACAAGAGGUAAGCGUGGUGUCUGACAUAAGCAUAAUAAAAGUUAAUUUAGGGGCUGAACUCAAUUUGGGGGCGCUGGGUGGAUCUUUGCACCCCGGUGUCGCAUAUGCUAAAGAGAGCCCUGACUGCAGCCAUCAAGGCUCUGCAGAACAGCCAAGCUAUUGCCACACCUGCAGUCUGACCACUCGUGAUGCUGGCAGAAGGUGGCAGGCAAAAGCAUUGGGAGUGAUCUCUGUGGCAGCUUCAGGCUUGCACAGAGAUCAGGCCAGGAUCAGACCCGGUGCCAGCCAGGGCCGGUUGUGGGGCAGCUCAGGAUCCAAUGAGUCCCAGGCCGGCACAGUCCUACCCCCCAGAGCACCCCAUUUUGCAGCUGUCUGCUAGAUUCUGCCCAUGGUGCUACCUAACCUGUCUGUGUUCAAGAGCAGGUAUGUUCUGAUGGAGAGAUACAAUUUCUGAACGAGCAUAAGCAAGCAGAGGCAUGCCUUCACUCAGUCCAAACUCCCUGCAACCUGGCGUUGGGAGCUUGGAUCGCAACCUUAAUCUCAGAAAUUGUCACUUUCUAAAUUCUGUUCUUUACAGCAAAGACCGAAAACCUGCCUCGUUUUCUAAGUUUUUAUUUCAAUUUCUGAUUAAGAGGUUCCAAAUUUGCAUUUUGAAUGUGAUACUUUACCAGGGGUCAGCAAACAUUUUCAGCAGGGGGCCGGUCCACUGUCCCUCAGACCUUGUGGGGGGCCAGACUAUAUUUUGGGAGAAGAAAAAAAAAGAAUGAAUUCCUGUGCCCCACAAAUAAUCCAGAGAUGCAUUUUAAAUAAAAGGACACAAUCUACUCAUGUAAAAACAUGUGGAUUCCUGGAUCAUCCGUGGGUCGGAUUUAGAACGCGAAUGGGCCGGAUUUGGCCCCCGGGCCUUAGUUUGCCUACCCAUGCUUUAAGCUGUAAAUUCAAAUGCUUUAGAUGUGGCAGGGGUCUUGAGUAUUUUGAUUAUGGUGGACUCCAAAUAUGAAUUCUUAUAAGCUAUUAUCUGUCAUACAAAACAAUUAUAAUUGCAUGUUAUCUAUCAAAGGCUGUCAGAAAUUAAAUACCAUUGCAUGCUAACAAUCAAACGCUGUAAGUUAAAAAUAUCAUAUAAUGUAUCUGCCAUCAAAUAUUAACUAUGGCCUUGUGUCAACCAACAAAUACUGUGAAAUAUGAUGCAUUGCUCGUUUUCAAGCAGUCCUUCAGGGAACCGCAGUGAGGUCAGUAGUGAUGGCCAAACACAACCUUUUGCUUGCCUUCUUUUGCAAUUAGCAGCCACGGGGAUAUGUUGGACAUAUUCUAGGUCAUCAUACAAGAAGCAAUGGUGGGACCCAAAAUUUCCCCCUUGAAUUGUGUAUGAGCCCCAGAGCAACCCCAGAAUGCUCUGCACCAUCUAAAACAUGCAGGAAUUUGGAUCACCUUGGGUCAGGUCCACUUUGAGCAGUAUCACCGUUUAGCCCAUAAUCUAGCUGGGUUCGAAACAUAUUGGAUUGUGGCUGAUUUGAAUCACUGAAUUGGGCCCCGAAUCAAAUCUGGGAUUGUGAAGAACCCUACUGAGAACCACCAUUCCGGCAUAAACUCCAUUGUAUAGAAAGUCACUUUCAGCUGAUUUAUUUCUAAUUCCUGAAUGCCAGUUCAUAUAGGAAGGUCUUCUAACCUUUUAAAAGUUGUUCACAUUUUUACUAAACCUUCUUUGAAAAUAUCUAAGGGAUUAGCCUUCAAAAAUAUGCCAGAGGUUGCCUUUACUGUCAUAUUUAACUGUAUCUGCCUUCUUAUAGUCUUGGCAGUGCAUCCUGAUCUGUCUUUUGUGUGUACUAUGAACUAGUAUACCAAUAAUCUCUCCUUACCAAUAAUCUGUUUAUAUAUUGGGAAAACAUCAUUUCUUCUUUUAGCCUUUCCUUAUAUGAUUUUCUUCAGUUCUGAAUCCCUUCUAGUUAAUCAAUCUCCUUGUUCAAAUGUGAUAGCCAAACCUGUUACAGUGGUGCCUCGCAAGACGAAAUUAAUCCGUUCCGCGAGUCUCUUUGUCUUGCGGUUUUUUCGUCUUGCGAAGCACGGCUAUUAGCGGCUUAGCGGCUAUUAGCGGCUUAGCGGCUAUUAGCGGCUUAGCGGCUAUUAACGGCUUAGCGGCUUUAAGAAAAAGGAAACAAACUCGCAAGAACUCGCAAGACGUUUCGUCUUGCGAAGCAAGCCCAUAGGGAAAUUCGUCUUGCGGAAUGACUCAAAAAACGCAAAACCCUUUCGUCUAGCGAGUUUUUCGUCUUGCGAGGCAUUCGUCUUGCGGGGCACCACUGUACUGUUAUUUAUCAUCUUUAUACCAAAUGCUCAAAUUCAUAACCAAACCGGUUCCCUGCUCUCAUUUUUACAAAGAGACCUAAGGUUGACACAACGAUCUGCCCAAGACUACACUGUGAAUUUAUGGGUGAAUCCUGCAUCUCCAGGUGAAAGUCAGCUUAUUAUCCGCUAUGACUGCAGUCUGGCAAUGCAGCUCCACAGGAAUUUUUCAGAGGAUUGUGGGCACUAUUUCUUGGAGUUUUUGUACUGUCAUAUUAACUGGGAGAUUCUCAAGAGUCACCAAUUAAUGAUGACCGGAUCAUCACCCCUUUUAUCUAUGCUAUAUUGUGUGCCAUCAAUAUGGCACUAAACAGUAGGGAUAGUGGACAGCCUUGGUUGCUGUCUCAUCCUAUUUGGAUCUUAGAUAAAUCAAAUUUGUUCACUUAAACAGAGUCACACACACGUAUUCCAGCACUUGUUUUUAUACACUAUUGUCUUUGUCCAUUUUCCUCAAUGCUAAUAAAAAGGUCCAUUCAAUUAAAUCAAAGGCCUUACAAGUACCUAUACUUAUUCAUUUGUUUAUUAGAUUUAUGACCUGCUCUUCACCACAAGGUCCCAGGGCAGAUUACAACAAUAAAAUAUACAAUUCUUUUUUUAAAAGGGGCGGAACAGGGCAUAAUGGGUCUGGGAAUGGAACACCUCCCCACACACCUCAAAUGGUCAUUGGCUGUGUUCUAAUCCCAAAUGUUAUAGGGAUUUGUAUGCCCUUAUCAAUAUGGGAAGUGGCUUCUUGGACUGUACAGUGGUACCUCGAGUUAGGAACUUAAUUCGUUCAGGAGGUCCGUUCUUAACCUGAAACCGUUCUUAACCUGAGGUACCACUUCAGCUAAUGGGGCCUCCCGCCGCCGCUUGAACAUAAGUUCUCCAGAGCCAGCCCAAUCCCCACACAUUCUGGAUAACCCUGAAGUCUCCCAGAUCCCCGACUGGGGACUGGGAAGGAUAAACACCUAAUGCCUGAGCCAAGGUCUCCCUACAUCUGAAACUUAAUAAAGUUGUGGCCAAUUUUAAUCCCAUUGUCUUGAGUCAUUAUUCCACUCGGGGGUUGCUUGGGGUUGGGGGGACUCCGCCUGUCCGCGCAAAUAAUGCCUGUGAUUUUGAGGAGCCUGCAGCUCAAUAAUGGUCAGUGAUUCAGUGAUGUCACAGCAACUUCUCGCCCUUAUUAUUGGUUUCUUGAAGGAAAACAACACCUGGCAGCUCUGUUUUCUGUCAUGCCUUUUUGCCCUAUGUCUUUAUCUGAAAAAAAAAAUGGAUUGGGUCAAUUUACUAUCUGAUUCAUCACUAGGAAUUCUAUAGGCAGCUUUAGAAAGUAUGGAAGAGAAUUUCAUCAGCCAGGUGCAAAAUGUACAUAUUUUAUGGCAUCACUACAGACUUUCUGAACCAUAAAGAAGGCUGAUCGCUGAAGAAUUGAUGCUUUUGAAUUCUGGUGCUGGAGGAGACUCUUGAGAGUCCCAUGGACUGCAAGAAGAUCAAACCUAUCCAUUCUGAAGGAAAUCAGCCUUGAGUGCUCACUGGAAGGACAGAUCCUGAAGCUGAGGCUCCAAUACUUUGGCCACCUCAUGAAAAGACUCCCUGGAAAAGACCCUGACGUUGGGGAAGAUGGAGGGCACAAGGAGAAGGGGAUGACAGAGGACGAGAUAGUUGGACAGUGUUCUUGAAGCUACAAACAUGAGUUUGACCAAACUGCGGGAGGCAGUGGAAGACAGGAGGGCCUGGCGUGCUCUGGUCCACGGGGUCACGAAGAGUCGGACACGACUAAAUGACUAAACAACAACAAAACAGACUUUCAUUGUUAAAUUAAAUCUCGAGAAAAUCUGAAGCAUAUUGGUCACUCAGUUGACCAGUCCGCCUUCCUGACUGACUCACUCAUACAGACAUCUGGUCAGCAGAAGCUCUGUAAGCUAGAUGUUUGCUUCUAGUACUUGAAUUUGUGCAGUUCCUUAGUCAGAACAUAUCUUAAAGGAUUGUACUAAGAACCUUGUUUCAUUAUUAUGCUUAAUUUUCUGAUUUGUGGCAGUAAUGUGUUUACAUGUCUGCUGCAAGACAUAUCAGAGUAAAACAAUCACUGUGUUAAAUAUGGAGCCAUGCUAAUUAACAGCAGUUUUCAAAAUAGACUUGCUCCACAAUUGUAGCACUAUCUAUUAAUUAGAAGUCUUAUUCUGCCACUUUAAAUACACCACUCAGAGAAAGCAAUUAACUAUCAAUGGGUGGGGAAGCACCCUUAUAAAAAUUGAAAAUGAAAGUCACCUCAUAAAACAAAACAAAGCUUACUGGCUGCAGGUUAUCUUUGAUGGAUGCAGAAGAAUUGGACACUACUGAGCCACUGACAGUUUUUAAAGGUUUGUAAAUGUCUUUUCUUCCAGUUAUAAAGGUGGCGAAUGAAUCAGUCACUGCUUUCUGCGUUGGACCUCCCUUUACUUCAGCUCAGCAGCCUCCUCAGGUCUUUUAGAUAUAUUCACUUAUCUUCCUUCUCACAGGUUAUGUCCUUAAUUCAACUAAAUGAACACAGCAUCUUCAUAAACAGUCGUCACAAACUCAGGAGUACAAUGGAUUCAAAACUUGUUAGUGUUCAAGUAACUCAUUCGGGACGCGGGUGGCGCUGUGGGUUAAACCACUGAGCCUAGGACUUGCCGAUCAGAAGGUUGGCGGUUCGAAUCCCCGUGUCGGGGUGAGCUCCCAAUGCUCAGUCCCUGCUCCUGCCCACCUAGCAGUUUGAAAGCACCUCAAAGUGCAAGUAGAUAAAUAGGUACCGCUCCGGCAGGAAGGUAAACGGCGUUUCCGUGCGCUGCUCUGGUUCGCCAGAAGCGGCUUAGUCAUGCUGGCCGCAUGACCCGGAAGCUGUACGCCGGCUCCCUCGGCCAAUAAAUCGAGAUGAUCGCUGCAACCCCAGAGUCGGUCACGACUGGACCUAAUGGUCAGGGGUCCCUUUACCUUUACCUAACUCAUUUUCAGUGUUGAGAAUGAUAAUAUACCUGGCUAGCAUCCAUCUGUCUCAGGAGACAAUGGAGGAGGGCACCUUUGGGGGUGAGAUCAAGGUGUUGGAAAUCUGCAGCACCUGCUGUGGCUUGCAGAGACCAAUGCGGGAGAGCAUGUUUUGUUGCAGCUGGGGCAGAUGAAGGCGUCCAGUUGUGCUGCUGCAGAUGCACCAUGGUGUUUCUUCUGUCUGCACUCGUCCCAGCAGUCAUUUCUCCUCUGGUCACUGCUCUGAAUAUUCAACUGAACUGCCUGUCUCCACACACUGCGGUUGUCUGCAAGGGAUUUCCACCAGGCAGUGUUGAUGUUGCCAGCCUUCAUGUUAUGUUUGCAGACAUCUUUGUUACACAGAGUUGGUCUGGCACAGUGGGAGUGUGACCCUGUUAAAGGUAAAGGGACCCCUGACCAUUAGGUCCAGUCGUGACUGACUCUGGGGUUGCAGCGCUCAUCUCGCUUUAUUGGCCGAGGGAGCCGGAGUACAGCUUCCGGGUCAUGUGGCCAGCAAGACUAAGCUGCUUCUGGUGAACCAGAGCAGCGCACGGAAACGCCGUUUACCUUCCCGCCGGAGUGGUACCUAUUUAUCUACUUGCACUUUGACGUACUUUCGAACUGCUAGGUUGGCAGGAGCAGGGACCGAGCAACGGGAGCUCACCCCGUCAUGGGGAUUCGAACUGCUGACCUUCUGAUCAGCAAGCCCAAGGCUCUGUGGUUUAGACCACAGCGCCACCCGCGUCCCUAUGUGACCCUGUUACUUCUCAAGAAUUUAAGCCAACGCUUCUUCCCAUCCAUCAGCCCCACAAGAAAUACUAUGAAGCCAAAGGUCACCUAUCAUUUUGGUAACAGGCUCCAACACUAUUCCAGUAAUCUUUGCUUCAAGCUAUCACACCUCUCUUUCAGUAGCCUGGAAACUAAUUCUGAUCUUACAGGUGCACAGUUAACAUCUGCAAUGAUUUCAUCCAAAUAGGUUUAACUUCCAUUUUUCAUUCUGAGCAGUCUAGGGAGACAGGUGACAUUUCUGCCUUUCCUUUUGUUUACCUCUGUCACAACCCUCUAAAACAAUACUUUAGGAAAUGACAGAAAAGCCACAGUUUUAAAAUGUCAUGAUCACAAACAAUCAUAGAGAUGGCAUGCUACAUUUAUCGAACAUCACAUCAAUGUUUUCUAGCAGUAUUUGGAAACUUCAGAAAGUCCAUGAAGUGGAAAUGGGAGAUCUUGCAUGGUAUAUUAAACAUACGUUGUCCUGCAUGUCCAGGGAUUCCUUGCCAUCUUAUUUGCGCGUUGAGGUCCCCCAGGCCACCCCAAUAACUCACACUUCACACAUCAAUUUUUGUUGAAGGUUUUUGGCAUGAAUUUGGCCACAACUUUAUUAAAUACACAAACGUGAGUGGUUGCUUAGGCAUUGGUUUUGUUUUCUUUUUAAAUUAUUUUUUUUCAAUCUCCAAUACAAGAUUUAAACAUACAUUUUCAAUAUUAUCACAGAUACAUAAUUUUGACUUCCUUUAGCUCAUCCACGAAUCUUCCGUUUUCUAAUCUUCUAUCCGCAAUUCUAAAUUUAACAUUGCCUUUUGUUUUAAAUAAACCUAUUCCCUUGUUCCCUUUUUUUACAGUGUUUCUAAUAUUAUUUCUUCACAAAGCUUCCUGUAAACCCACAAACGUUAUUUGUGUAUCACAUAUGCUUUUCAUAUAGUCCACAAAUUUACUCCAGUCCUUGGUAAACUUGUGAUCUCGUCGGUUCCGGACCCUUCCUGUUAAUUUAUCUAAUUCUGCAUAGUCCAUUAAUUUCAUUCUCCAUUCUUCUAUCGAUGGGAGUUCUUCCUGCUUCCAUUUUUGGGCCAGUAGUAUUGGUUGCUUAGGCAUUGGUUACGAAUAUCUGUCUUUGCCCCAGAGACAGAACUGACCUCCUGAUUCUAGCGGAACCCCUUGCCCCAGGGACAGGACUGACUUCUGGAUUCCAGCGGAAGCCAGUCAGGGAGAACCAUAUUGGGGAGAAAUGAAGCUGGACAUCAGUCCCUCAUCCUUCACCCUCAUGCGCCCUGGGGCUUGCAUAGCCCAAGUCCGAUGCCAGGGACUAGGAUGAAAGGGAUGGCAAGCCCCCUGGAUUCCUUUAACGGAAUUCCCUUUCAGCACCACCAUUGGAGGGGUAGGCACUUACCCCUCCACCAACCAAUUUUAACCAAUGCCUAACCGCCAACCUUACAAGUUGUGACUAUUUGCUACGCAGCAGGCAAAAACCAAAUGGCAACAGCCAAUCAGCCAAAUGGACAAAAUUCCUACCAGGCCCCUGCCCCAAGGCAGACGACCCCAUGACAGGCAUAGCGAGGUCAUAGGACAACGAACCCCCCCCUUUUCAGGGAGGGUGGGCGGGUGAUCCGGUGCACGCAACCCAAGAGAAGGCCCCAGGCUGCGAGCCCUGUAUUUAAGACCUCUGACCCCUCCCACACUUUAGCAACAUAACAUUCUCCCCAGCAACACUCCUUGCCCAAUCACAGCAUGUGGCCAAUACGCCCGACAACAGUGGGGUGGCCUUUUUGGCCCCCACUGCAACACGUGCUCUCUGGUAUGGAGAACACGCUAUGUAAAAACAACAACAAAUAAAUAUAUUUUGAGGAAGAACUAGGAGAGCAUAGGAAACCUCUGGGCCACACCAGGCCUCUUGAGGAAGUCACACACACACUGUCCUACAACUGACGUGAUACAAGAUGUCAGGUUUGGGGUGGUAGAACAAUCAGGAGUUUAUGUGAGCUCCCAAUAGUUCUUUUGUUGGUACAAAGGCACACUCCCAUCCUUCCAUCAGCUGUUGGAAGGUGGAGUGUUCCUUCUCAGGGCUGUUAGGAAAACUGCUUUCAAACAGCCUUGCGUGUCGAGGUCCCCAGGGCCACCCCAAUAACUCACACAUCACACAGAAUUUUUUGUUUAAGAUUUUUGGAAUAAUUUUGGCCACAACUUUAUUAAAAUACAAAUUUGUGAGUGGUUGCUUAGGCAUUGGUUGCAACUAUCUGCCCCCACCAUGGGGGACAGACUGACAUUCCGCACGAUGCGAAAGUCAGAAUGGGGGAAUACACUUGGGGGUUACGCGGGGCAGGGAACCUGCCCUCACCCCAAAUGCAACCAGGAGCUCAUUGCUAUGGCCCGAGCCCCCUUGACAGAGUGGACAAGCAAUAGUUAGCUCCCAAUUCCUUUAACGGAAUCCCUUGCAGCAGCAGCAUUAGAGGGGCAGGCACUCAACCUACCAAGGGCAGGCACUCAACCACUGUCCCUCAACCAACCAAACCAUAAACCAAUGCCUAAUCGCAACCUUACAAGUUGUGACGAUUUGCUACGCAGUAGGCAAAAACCAAAUGGCCCCAGCCAAUUAGCCAGAUGGACAAAAUUCCUACCGGGCCCCUGCCCCAAGAGCAGAUGACCCCAUGACAGGCAUAGCAUGGUCAAAGCGAACAACCCUAAUUCUCGGGUGGGGGGGCCGGGCAAUCCGAUGCAAGGUCGAUAAGAGGAAGCCCUAGCCUCGUGCAAGGAGUUUUAGCAUUUCUGGCUGUCAAUCAACAAAUGGCAACAUUAACUUCUUCCCAACAACAAGGGAAGCCCCAAUCGCAUCAGUGGCCAAUGGUCAAUUAGCCCGCCCCCAACUCUGGAGUGUCCUGGCGGCCCCCACAGCAACACGUGCUCUCCAUGAAGGAGAACACGCUUUGUGCUACUCCUUAAACUUCCAAAGCAGCCCAAUGCUGCACUUUGAACUUCUGGAAACUGGAGGUUCACAGAACUGCAAAGGGAUGUUUGAAAGUCUUUUGUGAACAGCCCAGUGCUCAAGAGUUUUGCCACUUGAGGCAAAAAGGAAAGUGCUACUUUUCCUUGCUGCUGCCACCGGUCCUGCCACCACCUAGUGCAGGGGUCAGCAAACUUUUUCAGCAGGGAGCCAGACCACUGUCCCUCAGACCUUGUGGUGGGGCGGACUAUAUUUUGAAAAAAAAAUAAUGAACAAAUUCCUAUGCCCCACAAAUAACCCAGAGAUGUAUUUUAAAUAAAAGGACACAUUCUACUCAUGUAAAAACAUGCUGUUUCCCGGACCACCGCGGGCUGCAUUUAGAAGGCGAGUGGGUCAGAUCCAGAUCCGGCCUCGGGUCUUAAUUUGCCUACCCAUGACCUAGCUGCUGCUGUUGCCACUGCCUGUUCUGCCACUGCUGCAGACCAGUACUGGCACCAUUGAUGCUAAUCAAGAUCACAUUCAUCUUGGACGAUGGAAGAGGCGGAUUGGUUUGACCUGAUGUCACUACAGUGUUAGUUGACUGACAGGUGGCAGCCCUGCCCACGUGCCAAGCAGGGAUUUUCUACAGACCUCCUAACCUUGCAACUUUAUAAUAUUCAAUUUAUUUUCCAAACACACACACACACACACACACAAAACAAUUGGGAGUACUUUGGUGCCACCAUUACAAGUCUCUACAACUUUUCUUUCUGCCUCAGUUUCUUCAAACUAAAGAGUAUGAAGAACAUGUAAGCAUAGACGUACCCAGAGGGUUCAGAUACAAAUGGAAAAUAAUGCAAUAUAUAAAACUAGAUGAAUUAUAAAGAAAUCAGAUUAUCUGGGAAGCCAAAGCAUAGAAGUAUAUGUAUUGUUUCAAGCAGAAGUAGGGUACAGACAUGCUUUAGUUACAUAGUUCUGAAAAACCUUUCUUCUGACCAUUUCAUAAAGUCCAAGGUAGCACAUCUGAUGAAAAAUAUUCUGGACUAAUUAGAGCUGUGCAAGUCAUGAGCAACAUCAUGCACUUGAGUUGACUAUCCCACUUCUGUCUGGUAACAAACCUUAGCAUUUAAAUCAGAAAUUUCUAGUGGGUAGGAAGACUGAAUACACAUACCUGCAUACCUUGUCUGGAAUACAGUGGUACUUCGGGUUACAGACGCUUCAGGUUACAGACUCCGCUAACCCAGAAAUAGUACCUCGGAUUAAGAACUUUGCUUCAGGAUGAGAACAGAAAUCGUGCUCCGGCAGCAGUGGCAGUGGGAGGCCCCAUUAGCUAAAGUGGUACCUCAGGUUAAGAACAGUUUCAGGUUAAGAACGGACCUCCAGAACAAAUUAAGUUCUUAAACCGAGGUACCACUGUACUCCGUCUACAAUAUACAGGCUUAAACAAAGGAAAUGCCAUAUACAGGCAUAUCUGAUAAGAUUGACUACUUUGCAAGUAUUUGUUGUUGUUGUUUAGUCGUUUAGUCGUGUCUGACUCUUUGUGACCCCCUGGACCAGAGCACGCCAGGCACUCCUGUCUUCCACUGCCUCCCGCAGUUUGGUCAAACUCAUGUUUGUAGAUUUGAGAACACUGUCCAACCAUCUCGUCGUCUGUCGUCCCCUUCUCCUUGUGCCCUCCAUCUUUCCCAACAUCAGGGUCUUUUCCAGGGAGUCGUCUCUACUCAUUAGGUGGUCAGAGUAUUGGAGCCUCAGCUUCAGGAUCUGUCCUUCCAGUGAGCACUCAGGGCUGAUUUCCUUCAGAAUGGAUAGGUUUGAUCUUCUUGCAGUCCAUGGGACUCUCAAGAGUCUCCUCCAGCACCAUAAUUCAAAAGCAUCAAUUCUUCAGCGAUCAGCCUUCUUCAUGCUGGCUCCCAAAACAGAGUUUUACCUUUUAAAAGUCAGUAAAGUCAAGCCGACCAAUCUUUAACAAUAUUGGCCAACUUAAGUCUGGUUCUUCACAAAUCUUUAAUGGAUCCCUGCAGUGGUGGACCUACAUUUUGGGGGCCCUCACCCUUGAACUGUUAUUGAGGGGGCGGCCUUCGCAACCAGCAGUGAGGUCUGGGUAACCACUGUUAUCUUCUUUGAUGGAGUUCUUUACAACAACCUUUACAACACCUAUGCUACUGACUCUCAAACUUUGGAAUUGUAGAAAUAUAGGCAACAAAAAAUCAGCAGACCAUAUUUUUUAAAAGCGUUGUGAACUAAAGUUGCUUCUGGGGCCCCUCUGAGAUCACGGGCCUUGAAACUUAAACUUCAUUAGUUUCAUAGUAGAUCUGUCCCUGGAUCCCUGUGAAUGUGGAUAAGGAUUUCUGUAGCAGAAAACACACAGUAGCUUCAGGUGAGCUCCAGAAACCUUGAGACCUCAUAAUCCCGCAUGGAGAAUACUAAAAUAAUGAGGUGGUCCUUUUUCUGCACACACACACCCCGCUGCUUGCUCCUGGGAGACAAUUAUGUUUCAUACACCUGCCAACCUCACUUCUGAGUGCUAGCUUCAUGAGAGGAAAGGCCUUUGAAUUCUCUCUCAUAUACCUGAAGAAGUGAUUGCCUUGUGGAAUCUACCAGACGUCGCUGCCAAACAAAACGCCUACAUUGCCUUGAGGAAAGAAGAAACUUGCAGUACCACCAACAUUUAUUUUCCCCUUGGUAUGAAAACCUACAGUGUGGGCCCCCAGUUCUCCUCCUCCAGCAAUGUCUCUGAAGUGACAAGGCACAAGAGAUUACUCGGCAGGCAUUUGCCUGAACAGAGGAGGGUAAAGAAUUUGCAGAUGGGCAUGCACAGAAUGUUUGGGCUUCAGCCAGAUUUUUGCACAUUGAUAAGGCAGGGUUCCUGAUCAUGCAAGGGUGACACAGAAUGUGCUUAGAAACAUCACCCCACCUCUUUACACAUUUCCCAGUCUUAUUUGUUCAGGGGACGCGGGUGGCACUGUGGGUUAAACCACAGAGCCUAGGACUUGUUGAUCAGAAGGUCGGCGGUUCGAAUCCCCACGACGGGGUGAGCUCCCGUUGCUCGGUCCCUGCUUCCGCCAACCUAGCAGUUCGAAAGCACGUCAAAGUGCAAGUAGAUAAAUAGGUACCGCUCCGGCGGGAAGGUAAACGGCGUUUCCGUGUGCUGCUCUGGUUUCGCCAGAAGCAGCUUAGUCAUUCUGGCCACAUGACCCGGAAGCUGUACGCCGGCUCCCUCAGUCAAUAAAGCGAGAUGAGCGCCGCGACCCCAGAGUCAGUCACGACUGGACCUAAUGGUCAGGGGUCCCUUUACCCUUUACCUUUAAGGCAGGGUUCCUGAUCAUAAAGGGGUGACACAGAAUGUGCUUAGAAACAUCACCCCCACCUCUUUACACAUUUCCCAGUCUUAUUUUUUUAGGCAAGCACCUAAAAAUAGCUAGGAUGGGGCAUCAUUCCAACUGAAGCAUCAUGGAGGGAAAUGGUCUCCAUCGUGCCACCAACUGUAGCUCCAUCGUUGGUUGCAGAGGCAAGCUAUUAUGUUGAAAAAGCAAAGGAGGAAAGGGGUGUAUAAAAUUAUGACUCUGCCAUCCUGAUUUUGUAUUAGCUGCUGCCAGAUUCUUCAGCUUGGGUGGGAGGCUUGUCAUUGCUGAAGGUGGGCCAUAACGUGAUCCCUUGUCUGGGGUUGGGUGUCUGCCCUCAAACAAUUUCCAGGGGGAGAGGAAAUCUAUGUGCUCAGUCUGAAAAAUUUGGUUAUUCCUCAGGUAAUAGGCAGAAACGAGCAAGGUUUCAUUAACACUAUUGCAGCUGUGGUGUUCAACUUGGAUUUUAAGUUCAGAAACAGAUUUUCAGAUGUCAAAAUCUUGGUUUCACUGGCAAGAAUUUUGCUGUUUUUAUAGUUCAGUUAAGCAACUCUGUUCCCAUAAUUACUUUCUAGGAACACCAGCCUCAAAUGACUGAAAGUUUAAUUUUGUGACUGUACUUUGGUAGCAUCUUUGGAAAAGCCUUAUCUUGGUUUUCAUAUUUAUGCAGUUAAUUGCAAUCAAUACACUAAGAAACUAUUUGGGUCUAGUGAGCAUCACACAUUAUCUGUUGUAACAACAGCAAAAACCCCUACAGUACUGAUUAUGCAUACAUUGUACACCAAGAUAAGUUAUUGCAACUUCUGUAGUGCACAUCAGCACACUGUAGUGAAUAAAAAGUAUAAGGGAGUCCUAGUAAUUACCAUUUUAAAGUAUAAUAAACACGUCACAAUGCACUGUAAUGUAAAUCAUAUUUUUAUAGCCAGCAGCAUAUUAGGACUGGGUUUAAUUCUAAAGCCUAUAUUACUUUUCAUCUCAGCACUGUAGGAAAUUACAUAUGCCAGGUACUUGCAGGUAUAUAUUGUAACUAUAUACAUUUUUGCAAAAACACAGUAGAAUAAUUAUCACCGGAAUAAUGUAGCCUCUGGUUGCAAUCUUAUUUUUUAGAAACAAUCAAUAUAGACUUAAAAAAACUAUCUUGAACCCAAGCUCGAUGACAUUUAUAUGGUCAGAUGCUUGUUUAACAUCAAAUGCUAUAAUUUUAGAGGAUUUAACUCAGAAUGAAACAUAUCCCCUGCUCUGUGGAAAUCUAUUCAUUUUUUAAAUCAGCUUUCUUUGUGGGCAGUAAACAGGCUCCCACUAAAACUUGUGCAUGAUUUUAAUUACAGAUAAGUUUCUCUUUUAAAGGCCAAAGCGUUCAUGCUCAGGUUGCUAAGCUGAAUUCAAUACAUCUAUAUGUUAAAGGUAGAAAACUAAUGUGUAAACAGGAAAAGUAUUGGAACCAAUUGCUGUUAAUUUGGUUUUGAUCAAUUCACAUUGACUGCACUUUACAUGCAAAUGAGAAGUGUUCUAGGCUAGCCAGAUGAAAAUAGCUGAGAUCUGAAGUGGGGUUUCAUUCUGCAAAUUAUUUAAACGAGUAGGUAGAGAAGGAGGCAUAGCAACAGGCAGUUAUGAGUAAAGUUUGCAGCUGUGGACCCAGCCCAAAUAGAUAUUCAUAUAGAAACAGCAACCCACAAAUUAAUGCAAAACUCUAACCGCAUGGAUUAAUGAUAGUGGACAUAUAUUCUGCAGAAACUGCCCGCCCAAUAGUUCCAUCCCUACCACACUGACUAGGAUAGAAUUAUCAUAGCAGUCAAGUUCUCAUUUGAUUUACUAUGUUCUUUUGAUCCACUGAGAGAUUUUGGGUGCUCUACAGUUCUAUGAAAUUACAAGGGAAGUAUUAGUACCACUCUAUUCUGCCCUGGUCAGACCACACCUGGAAUGCUGUGUCUAAUUCUGGGUACCACAAUUUAAGGAUAUUGACAAGCUGGAAUGUGUGCAGAGAACGGUGACCAAGAUGACCAAGGGUCUGGAACCAAGCCUUAUGAAGAAAGGUUGAAAGAGGUGGGUAUGUUCAGCUUAGAAAAGAGGAGAUGGAGUGAUUAGAUAGCCAUCUUCAAAUAUCACAGUGAAACGGUCUCCCCCGGGAGGUUGUAGAAACAGUUGUAAACCUCCUUCCUUGGAGGUUUUUAAGCAAAGAUGGAUGCUUUAGCUGAGAUUACCGCACUGAGGGUGUUGGACUAGAUGACUCUCAGGGCCCCUCCCAAUCCUACAAUUCUUUUUUUUUAAAAUUAAAUUUUAUUUAACAUAAUUAUUACAAAAUACAAAUACCUACAUACAUAUAUAUUUCAGAUAAGCACACACAUAGAAAAAAAGAAAAAAGGAAGAAAAGAAAAAAGAAAAAGAAAAAGAAAAAAUAAGGAGAAAAAGAAGAAGAGGAAAAAUUGGAAUUUCUUCCAAAUUUAUUCUACAAAUAUCUCAAUAAUAAAAUUUCAUUGAUUGACUUCCAUCGCUUACACUGCACUUCCUAUAUACAUUUUAAGCAAAAUUGUAUCUGUUAUUCCGUGUUUUCCCCAUAAAAUCUCAUACAAAUAUUCUAAUCAAUAUGUUUUCAAAAUCUUUCAUAAAUCUAUUCUAAACAAUUCUAUGAUUCUAUGAUUCUAAGGGGGCUGGCCCCUUCCAACCUCCUUUCUCAUCACCUGAUCAAACUUCUCUCUUUAACAUCUCACCUACCCCUUCGCCUAUCUCCUAAGUGCUCACCCAAAUCCUCCCUCCCAGCUUGCCCCAACGUCUUUUAAAGGAGGGUGGGAGCUGCUUCAGUGAGAGAUUUGCCAAGCUGCUCUCUGAUGUGCCUCCCAGCCUCUUUUAAACGGUUCACCUUGGCCUCCUGCCCCACAAUGCUGCUUACUUGCUCGCUUGCCUGCUGUGUUGUCAUCAUGCUGGUGUUGCCGUGGCUACCUAGUAUAUCUGAAGGAGCGUCUCCACCCCCAUCAUUCUGCCCGGACACUGAGGUCCAGUGCCAAGGGCCUUCUGGGGGUUCCCUCGCUGCGAGAAGCCAAGUUACAGGGAACCAGGCAGAGGGCCUUCUCGGUAGUGGCGCCCUCCCUGUGGAACACCCUCCCACCAGAUGUCAAAGAGAACAACAACUACCAGGCUUUUAGAAGACAUCUGAAGGCAGCCCUGUUUAGGGAAGCUUUUAAUGUUUGAUGUAUUACAGUAUUUUAAUAUUUUUUUGGAAGCCGCCCAGAGUGGCUGGGGAAGCGCAGUCAGGUGGGCGGGGUAUAAAUAAUAAAUUAUUAUUAUAAUUAUUAUACCUACUGGUGGCCACACAAACUGCAGAUUGACAACAGUUUUAGGAAUGUCAUUAUAUAGUAGGGAAUCCGCUUGAACUGGCAAGACAUAUGAUAAAGUUUGGGGAAACAGUCUCUGCCGUGUUCUGUUAACUAGGCAUUAUUGAUGCAGAGUCAUGACUUUAAUAAAGUGAUUCAGUUGUAUAUUGGAUAUUGAAACUUGCUAGGAAAACAAACUUGACAUUCAAAUGAGUAAAGAUCUGAAAUGAGAAGGAAAGUGGUACCAUACUUUGUGGGUUGUGAAACACAGAGCAGUCAAAUACAACAUCCCUAGAGUGAACAUAAAAAGGGGGUGUCUGGUCCAGCCAGUCAGAAUUUCCUGUUUCCUCCUUGGCUGGGACACACUUCCUCUACAUGUGACCAGAGGUGGGCGUGGCCUCACCUGUGCAGGUAACAAAAGCAUAGGACUGGCCGCCAUCUCUCUCUCUCUGACUAUAUUCAUCGAAGAAGCAACAUCUGCUUAGCCUAAGAUGCUCUCUUGGCAGAGAGGACAAAGGGACCAUUUCUUUAUGGGCAUAGAUUCCAGGUAUAUUACUUUUGUAACUUAAGUCUGCCUUCUGGGAUCCAUCUGUGAACAGAAUGUGAGUAAACUCUUUUUAUACUUUUAUAGAAAACUGUGUUGUGUCUAUUUCUGUUAUGAGGGACUAAAGGGGAAAUUACUAGGUAACUUAUUUUAGAGGCUUUAGUAAGCCUGAGCAAACACAUCCGCUGUGCAAGUUUAGAAAGGGGAAUGUUACUCUGCUAAACUGUAGAACUUGUUAACACAAGUUGGAAAGGAUAUAAUCAAACAAUAUAUAUCCUCUCCUGCAUCCCUGAACAUUCCCACAUACUUUACAUUCCAAUGUGAGAAUGCUCAACUGUAUAACCUCAAAAUUAGGAUAGGCUGUACAAUCUGUGCUAGUCACUUCACAUCCAGUUUAGUGACUAAAAUAAAACAAAGAAAUAUGAAUAUGAUAGCCAUCUUCAAAUAUCUAAAGGGCUGAUACAUCGAAGGUGGAGCAAGCUUGUUUUCUCCUGUUCUGGAGUGUAGGACCGCAACCAAUGGCUUCAAUACAAGAAAGGAGAUUCCAACUUUCAGGAAGAACUUUCUGACAGUCAGAGAUGUUCAACAGUGGAACAGACCAUCCUUGGGAGGUGGUGGACUCUCCUUCCUUGGAGAUAUUUAAGCAGAGGUUGGGUGGCCACCUGUCAUUGAUGCUUUAGCUGAGAUUCCUGCAUUGCAAGGGGUUGGAUUAGAUGACCCUCGUGGUCCCUCCCAACUCUACAUCACUAUAAUUCUAUGAAAUGUAAAUGUCACAGGUGUACCAACAGAGGACUCCUAUCUUCACUCCAUCAGUCUGUGGGCUUAUCCACACUGACCUUUCCUCCAUUCUUUCAGGCAAGGCCUGUACUUGACUGGUGCCACACGUAUUGCUGUGCUUUCCUUAGGACCACAAUGAAGUGAAGCCGAGAGGGUGGACUUUGGAAGAAGAAAAGGAUAUCUUUGGGAGAAGAAGAGACUCCACAAAUCCAGAGUAGGGUCCCUAAAGUGGUUGGGUGGUGCCUUGUACGCCUCCUUCCGGCAACCCCUGCAGCCAUGCUGAUGCCAAACGUUCCGCUUUGCUUCCCUUUGGACCAUAUCAGUGAAGCCAAGAUGGGGGUCUUGCCAUCUCAGCAGCCCAGGACCUCCACAAACACUGCCCAGGCUUGUGCCCCAGAGUCACACUCCGUUGUCUCUUGAGACAGGUGCCAAUAUGAGUUCUAGUUCAUGUUCAUCCUGGCAAGAGAUUCCUGUCGGUUUUACAAAGCAAACUAGUUCAGUUCAAGUUAAUCCAAUUGGGUAGCCCAGGACCUCUAUACCUACACUGCCUGGGCUUGCACCCCAGAGAGGUCACAAGUUAUGGUCUCUGCAGCCACAUUAGGCUCUGUGACAGUUCAGUGGUUUAUCUUCACUCUCGGAGGCGCACUCAAUUGUCUCUCGAGACAGAAGGAUGCCAACCACAACCCUGAGCUGUAUUUACAUGGUAAAAUUGCUAAACUAAUCCAUUUAGGGUGUAUAUGCCUGUGAUAAAUCACCUUGUAUGGCGUCUUUUACUUUCUUUUUCAAUUAGACCUUUUCAGCUCCCUAAUGUAAGAAAGAAAAGCUAGUAUUACUUAACAGGUUGCCCUCUCAGUAUGUUGUCACCAGAGAGCUAACUCAAACAACCAAAAUGUUUUAAAAUGGUACACUUUCUAAAUGGUUAAAUUAACCAUAGUUUUAAUAUGAUUUUGCUCACAAAGUAUUGGACUGAUGACUCGCAAUAAGCAGUGAAUGUUGCAUUAUGUUGACUUAUUUGGUUUUUGUCUGAGCAUAAUUUCACAAAGCAUCAAACCAUUUUUUACAACAGCAUGAGGUUAAUAUACUGUAUAUUGUUUCAUGUAAUGCCAGGCUAGGCUGUUUGGGAUUGCACUCAGUGGUUCUUUUAUAAUGGAAUGAGGUCAACAGCAAGAUUUCAUGCUAUGCAAUUUGUGCCAUAAUUUUCCACUACUGUUGGCUAUGAAUAAAAUUUGUUUCCAGCCAUUUUGAGUAAUUUAUUACACUGGCACCACAAAUCCAAAACAUUUACACAGAAUCACGAUCCACUGACUAGAGCAAAAUGCACUUCUAUGUAAGUGUGUUUAAUACCAAAGCAAUACAAAGUGUUUACCACUCCACAAAACAGAAUAGAGUUCUUCCAGUGAUUAUACCCUCAUUUUAGAAUUCCCUCCCACAGGAGGCCCAUCAGGCUGACUCCCUUAUUGUUUUUAGAAGGCUAGUUAUGACAGUAUCAUUUUAGAGAUCAUUUUAGGAUGCUGAAGCUACUGGAAAGGAUAAAUAUCUUGGCUCUGUACUUCAAUUGGCCCUGUUGUUUAUAUUUUUAUUUUAUUUUUGUUUUAGAAAUUGUAUUAUAUUUUUGUAACAGUUUGUAAAUGUUCCCUACAUUCCAGUGAUGUGAUCCCACCAGGUUUCAAUAAUGCCAGUUACAUCAUAUUUACCUUCCUUUGUUUAUAUUUUGAAUGUAUUGUUUAUUUCCCAUCCUCUGUGCCUUGGAAACCCUAGACUGAACACCCCAACCAGACCUUACUGUUUUUCUUGCAUAUCAGUGGGUACUCACAUGGUUGGCUUGGCUUCACACAUUCUUCAAUAUAUAGUGCCAGGCUUGUAUCAUAUUAUUCUGCAGGAGUUAAGUUUAUAGUCCUCCUGAUCAGGUUUGUGAGACCCCCUGCCAAACACUUUCUUCCCAAGCGCAUCUCUUACCAGAAGUCCAUCAUGGAAGUACAGGCCAUAAUUCAAUAAUCGCCUAUAUAAAACCUCUUGCUGCAAACGGCCACAGCCCAAUUUCACCUGAGAUACAAGGUGUCAGGGAACUGCCAUCGGCUCAGGGGCGAGAGGGGAAAAGCCGGAUGGAUUACAGAGAGCCCCCAAAGAUCAUGGGAAGCAGCACCUCCUCAGCGGAGGAGGGUAGCCACGCCUUUAGUGGAGAAGAGAUGCAGGGCUUGGGGGAGGCGAGGCGGUGCCAGGACACCUUGCCUGAGCAAAGCGGGGAGGAGAGAGGUCCUCCGUUACCCAUGCCUUCUGUGUGCAGUAGGCUUCCGCGCAGAGAGAGGAGGCGCAGACUGGGCACCAAGUAACUACUCUGCUGGGGAAGGUUUAAGGACCGCCCACUCUCAGAUUCUGCCAGUGAAUGAGCAAGACACGGAACAGAGGUGCUCUGCGUUCCAAAGGUUUUUUAUCACCAAUAAGAAAGCUGUAAAACAGACUAUUGAAGCAUAUUGCCUGAUUGCUCUCGAGCAACCAACCUAUACCUCUAACACAAGGUGAGGAAGGUUUUAAAAAGAAAACAAAAAGAAAGGCUUUCUCGGACAAUCCGAAAUUCCUCAGUUCCCAGAUAAGCAACCUCCACUUUUUUGGUUAAAGAUGGGCUGCUUCAGCUAAAAUGCAAGGAAAGCGAGAAACGAAGAAGGGAAAUUACGUGGUCCUUGCUCAUUUGAUAGUUGCUGAUUUAUGAAGGUACGAAGCUACACCAUCACUUGAAAGUAGCAAAACCGCCAUUCCUUCCCAUAGCAUAGGAUAUUAUGGCAUGUUCCUCAUGUUCCAGAGUAGACCCUCUUCUUUCAAGCUCCAGGCUGUAGGCAAGGUCAUACUUCUCACACCUUUUUCCACCCAGAAAGUCAGAAAUGUAUUUUCCCUGGAAUUCCUGCAGCAACAGCAUUUUUCAAAAAGAUAAUGACAACUGACAGUCCUGCAGCAAAAUACCAAUCAAGUGUGCCUCAGACCCCAAGAUUGGGUCUCUACCCUGAAGGACACUGACCAUGAUGGAUUUCUCCCCUUGCCCCUCACCCUUUUAUUUACAUUAGUAACCCUUUUCUCCCUUUUCCCGCAAGCGCUGCACUAGUUUGAUUUCCCCUGUUGCUGCUCACCUGCCUCCCCAUUUACUCAGCUGCCUUGCCUGAAACAGGUUAGAAAGGGCCUUCCAGAUGAUUUUGCCGUAUUUCAUGUUUGUGUACUUCGGGUGACAUGAUUUGCACAACCACAUACUCCGCAUGUUUAUCUACUAAUUAAUCUACCAAAACGAAGCUGGAAAUACGUUCUCUGUUUGCAGGUAUAAAAAACCGUGCUCAGUGCCUCUGUAAAUGGGGAUAAUUCUCUUUGCUAGUUCGAUUUAACCACCUUCGCUGAAUUAGUGCAGACAGUCUCUAAGCUAUACCUGAAUGUAGCUCUCAUAAUUGUCAGGUGAGCUGAAAUUCUGCAGGAGAACUUUGAACAAUUUCUAGUUCAAUUCCAAGUUUGCUGUCUUGCAAUUGUUUUUUUUACUCCUUAAACUCUUUGAGGCUUUAAGCUUCGAUAUCCUAAUUGUUGGGAGGAAAUAAAUUAAACAAUAUAUUUGUGUGUUAUGAAUUCUCUUAAUCUGUUUAUGCAUAUUUUAUAGUUCAGCACAGCAGCUUAUAACUUUCUGAAUGCUGAUUCUUUUUUUUGUGUUUUCUUAUUUUUUUGUAGAUCAUUUGAACGAACUUGAACGGAACAGCUGCACAUGAGCCAAACUGAAUUUUGUAAAGGGACAAACCUUAACUGGACUUGGUUCUGUUUUGGACAUGUUGAACUUGAACAAGGUCUUUUUAAAAUCAAUUUUCUGAGCUCCGAUGAUU
This 48336-nucleotide long non-coding RNA is filed under the name Podarcis lilfordi (Lilford's wall lizard). Lineage: Eukaryota; Metazoa; Chordata; Lepidosauria; Squamata; Lacertidae. The record is from RNAcentral.